UUUCAGCCGUUUUUUUUUUAACUAAAAGGGAAACCCCUUUUCUCUCAAAGAAGUCCGGCCAUGUGGGGUUCCUGAUGCGCCACCGCUAGGCUCGCCGCACCGCCACUGCUCCGACGGCCGACGAAGCGCCAAAUCGGCGCGGCAAACCCCGUCCCGGUGAGCACCUCUCCUUUUUUAUUUAUUAUAUUGUAUAUACGCAAAUAGAUAAACAAAAAAAUAAUAAAAUAGUAUAGGAAAAAGAUUAAACUAUCAAGAGAAAACCGAAUACAGACACUAGAAAUCACCUUUGAAAUUUAAUUUUUAUUUCUUUGCUAAUCUCUUUUUUGAUACAUAAGAUUGCUAACCCCAAAGAAGAAGCAAAAAAGGGUACAUAUUCGGCUUUUUAUAGCCGAUUUUUGGCUACUGUUUCUGUUGUUUGUCUUCUUUUUUCUUUGUUUUGUUGUUUCUUUGCAGGUGACGGCGCAAGUGGUGGUGGUGACGUGACCGUGGUGGUGACGACGUGACGUUGGCGGCGGCGGCAGGCCAAAAGGCAAUAGGUGCGGCGCCUAGGGUUUUAGUUUCUGAAACCCUAGGCAGAUUUUUUUUAAGGGAAUUGGGCUUUAGGUUAUUGGGCCAUGGGUGUUGGGUUUGUAAAGGACUUUGGGGUUUGGGCUGGUAGCUGGUGGGUUUAGUUUGGGAAUUGUUUUUGGGCAGGUUCUGUAAUGGGCUAGGCUAGUUGGGCUUAUUUUUAGGUCUGUUAUUGGGCUAAAAUUUUGAGUUGUUGGGCCCCGGGCUAAAUUUGGCUUUGUACAAUGUAAACAUAAUCUAAAUAUUUUAUUUAUAAUUGGAUUAUUUGUUCCCUUGUUAAUAAAAUACUGAAAUAUAUCAAGAAGAUUAUUUCUCUCAUUAAUAUCUAAAAAUCUAAUUUCUAGUUCUUCCCAAUCUUGAUACAAAAUAGAUUUUAAUAAUAAAUCACGAGCUUCUUGUUCUUUAGUUAUAUUUUCAACUAAAAAUUGUGAAAGCUUAGUAAGAGCUCUUCUGAAGUUAGCUCUUUACUCGGUAAUAUGGGUUUUUCAUAUUUCAUUAAUAAAAUUAUAUGGUUUCGACACUAAUGAUAAGUCUGGAUUAUAAAAAUAUUUUAUUUUCUAAAUAUGUUGUGGUUUCAACAAAUUUUCUAUUGCAUAACUUUUCUACUUCUCUAAUAAUUUAAGCAUAACUAGCUUAGUACGCUGAAUUUGAAUAUUGCGACUAAAGUAGUUGACUUACCAGUUGUGGCUGAUGCAAUUAACUCAAUCUAAAGUUAAAAUUUAAUCUUUGACAAUAUUAGUUUUUAACUUGUAGAAAAUUACCAAAGCAAGCAAACAACCAGGCUUAAAGCAAUGAUAUAGAAAAAGAAAGGUUCAGCUCACUAAUCAGUCAAAACAAAUACCGUAAGACAACUGAUGUGGUUUUAUAGGAGGAGAAAUAAGAGUUUUUUUUAUAGAUAAAAAAGCCACUUAGUGAUUAAUUUCAAUAAUUAAGUGAACUAAUUUUAAAAUAAAAUAAAAGUAAAUACCAAUAAACUACCUUCUUAAUUAAUUAGGAAUAAGUACGGUUUUGUUCAAUUAGAUUUUUUGGAUUUCUUUUUCCAACUUUUCAUGUUUUUAAUUUGGUUUGGUUUCAUUUCGUUUUUAAUUUUUUUACAUUAAUUUUGAGUUUAGGAUUUUGGAUUUUUUAUGUUUUUUUUUUAUAAAUUUUGGACAGGUAAAAUUUUAAAAAAAAUAAUUUUUGAGUAAAUAAAAAAUAAUUAAUAACUCAUAUUUUUUUUUAAAAAAUAAUUUUUAUAUAACAUUUUAAAGUUAUUUUUCACUAUAUUUUUAAAUUAUUUUCAGUGUAUAAUUUUUAUAUAAAUAUAAUAUAUUUAUUCUUAUAUCAUAAAAUUUUAAAAUUUAAUUUUCAACUUAUAUUUGAAAAAUCAUCCAAAUUCAAAUUGAUUUAUCAAUUUACAAAUUUGUGGCCCGCAAAGUUCGCGCUCUAAUAUAGCAGUCUAGAGUAGCAAAUGAAAAAAAAAGUUAAAUUUUGCUAUUAGUUUUUAAAGUUAUAAAUUCAUUUUUUAUACUUUAAAGUGAACUUUAGUCAUUGUAUAUAAUUCUUAUACAUAUAGAUUCAAAAGCUAGUAGUGCAGGAUGCAUACAAUCAUAACAUUAAUUAGUUUUGAAACAAAAAAAUAAUUAUAUAGUAAUAAUUGUAUAGCAAUAACUGACAUGAAAUUACAAUUGAUAAUAACUGACAUAAAAUAGAUAAUAGUAAAUUUUAAUUUAAUGAAUUUAAUACUUAUCAUUUAGUAAUGAUUGAAAUUUUAAAAUUUAAAAUAUAAAGAUUAAAUCCGUAAUUUUCAUAAAGAACAAGAAACAAUAAUAAAAUUUUACCAUAAAAAAUUGUAAUACAUGCAUGCGAUGUUCUUCUCCCCAUUAGACAUUUUAAUUAAUUUUGAGUUUAGUUAAUUUAUAUAAAAAUAUUUCAAAUUUUUAAAAUUUUAAAUCUGAUUGAAUUCAAAUAAUUUUGAAUCCAAAAUAUUUAUACCAUUUCAAUUUUUGUUUAAGUCAAGUCCUUUAAUAGUAAACUUUUGUUAGAUCAAAUUCAAGGUCAGAGAAUCAGACUAUCAAAUUAUUAUCAAAAUUCAUAAUCUUGAGCAUAGAAUAAAACCUCUUUGUUUCUAAAGCCUUAACAAAAGUUAAAGAAAAAAAAAUUCAGAUCAAGACAGCAAUGUGCACGCAAACUGCAAUGGCAAUUCCUUUCCCCUCUACUCCUACAGCUGCAAAGAUUAAAAAUAAAAAAUAAAAAGAGAAAUGGAGAUCCUUUGAAGAGCACUUUUGCGGCGCUUUAUCUAUACCAGAUUGACCUUACAGCUCAUCCUGCAUUCAAAGGGAUAAUCAUUUUGAUUAAUGAGGCAUCCAAAAUCUAUAUAUAGGCAAAGGCAGAAAGGAAAAGAACUACUUACAUGUACGUCUUUCUCAACACUGUCUUUGCUUGCGUCUGAUUUGCUAUCGAAAUCAGACUCACUUCCUUCACCAUCAUCACUACUACUAUCACCAUGAUCAUCAUCCACCUGGAUAAUCGGUUAAACACAAUGAAAACCAGAAAGACGGCAAUUCAAGUAAAAUUAUAUCAUUGACAAGGCAUGUUAUAGACUUACAUCAGAAUCUGCGGCGUCAUCCUUGGAGUCCUGAAGGUCAUGUUACAUCAGUUAGAAAGAGAGAACUGCAAACAAGGCAGAAGUAUGACACUUGAUAGUCAAUAAUAUACCUCCUCUUCCUUUUUCUCUGCCUCCUCAAAUGCAGCCUUCUCGGCCUGCAAAAGCCAAUCAAAUCAACCACAAGCACAAACACCCCCAAAAAUAAGGUCAACAAGAACAGUUUGAAAUACAUAGAUUGACUUACAUCCUUCUGCUUGCCCCAUGUUUCUUCAGCUAGCUUUUUGGCAUACUCAACAUCAUCAGCAACUAAGAUAUUAUCAAACAAUGUUCCAGAUUUUACCUGGCAAAAACCAAACAUUUAUCUUGUUAUAGUUCUAAAAUGGCAUGGAAUGAUAAUAGGAUAGAUGUAGAGAGAGAAAAAGUGAUACCUGCCACAAUUCAAUACCAACAUGCUUCAAGUUGGGGAAAACAUAGAGAUCAGGAUCAUCCUUGAAAUCUGUGAACCAUAUAAAAAACACAGUAAUAAAUCACUUGAAAAUUUGUAAUUGAUAAGAAAAGAAAAAAAGCAUUACACAGGAAAUAGCUAUGAACCUGGGUUGUCAAUUUUUGGAGCCUUCCACUUGCCCUUGUAGUUGGGGUUCUUGAUUUUCUGCAGAUAGACAAAGAACUGUUAGACAUAAAUUGUCAAAUUAAAUGCUGCAAUUAGACAGGGAUUUCACGAACCUUAGGCUUCCAUGGGCCAUUGUACUCUGGGUUGGGAAUUGUUGAGGGUGUCCAUUCACCAUCUUCUUCAUCAUCCCAAUCUUCUGGCUGGUGUAAAUAAUUUUAAUCAUUAACCUUUAUUACAAAUAAGGCAUGCCCAUUUUAUAAUAGAUGCAUUACUGAAGCAUUAAAUGACUACCUUCGUAGCAUCAGGAUCAGGAAUUUCUUUUGGAAUGUCAUCAUAACCCUAUGGGAAAUCAAAAACUAGAGGUUAGCUUGCAUAUGCAUAACAAAACCAUGGAAGGGUUAAAAUACGAAGGUUGUUACCUCUGGCUUCUUGUCUUCAGGAUCAGGGAUGAAUUCCUUGUCAUCCCAAUCUUCAGGCUGCCAUCAUUCGAAGUUCUUAGUUGUAUCAAAUAUUCAUAUGAUAAAAUAAAACCAAAAAGACAUCAAUUCUGACUAAUGACCUUCUUUGCACUGGGAUCCUUGAUUCUCUUCGGUGGGAGAAGAUCCCAAUCAGUGUACAAGCUACCAGUUCGUUUCUCAACAUUAUCAAUAAGAAUUUUGUAAGUAGCAUCCGGAUGGAGAAUAAAUGUGUAAACGUGAGUAAGUUGGUCAGUCUCACAUGGAACUUCCUUUUUCAUCAAGUGGUUUGUCCCCUUGUAAUGAAGAAUAGCAUGUACUUUCUUUGUGCUUCCACAGAUAUCAGGCCCAAACAUAAUGCUGCACCCAACCAACAUUACAAAAAAAUAAGUAAAUCUGUAAUAAAAUCUUUUAGAGAUACCAAGAGGUUAGAUCAUAAGGUAAAAACCUGUAUGGGGUGUCACCACCAAAAUUCUUCUGGUCAAUGUCACCACUGAGUAGUUUCAUGUAACCACCACCACAAUCAAGCUGCUGCUCAUGCUUGACAGAAAAUUGGAAGACUAGAGUCUUGCCCUUGUUGUUAACUUCUGGGAACUUAGCCGAAAUAGCAUAGAACCUGUAGUCUUCACUAGUUUGAAUACCUUUGUCAUUAAGAUCCCCACUCCAUUUUCCAGAAGUGUAAUUCCAUUCCCCAGCCAUGUUGUCAUCUUUCUUCCAGUCAGAUUUUACCCACCGACUUUCCCAUCCAUCUUUGGUUUAAAAACAAUAGAAAUGCAAAAUCAACCAGAAAAAGAAAAGGUCAAAUUCUUCUGUUUGGAAACAGUGAAACGUACAAUAAAAACAUAAGCAGCUUCUCGUUUGUUAAAGGGAAAGCAAAAUUUUAGUAAUGCAGCCAUGCAUAGUACGUUAAAUAGUAGGAACACAUUAGCUAGACUCUGAUAUCUACUCUGAUUUAAAAGACCAUAACAUCUAAUUAAUUUUGCUAAGAACUAGUGUUUUCAUUCUCAAGAUUAAAUUAACGCAGAAUGAUAAUAUUAAUCAUCAUUUCAUCCAAUUAUCCUCUACAGUUACAGAACAAUUGAAACACAAUACACACAUUCACUGCCAUUUCUCAAAGAAUUCAAACACAUUUCUAAUAAUUUAUAUAUUUUUAUAAUUAGAACCUUUUACGGAGUCAUAUUACGUGUAGAUCUACUCGACUCACUACAUCUUUUAAACGUAAUUAAUCAUUCGAGUAAAGGAACCAUCGAAAACAGCCAGAUCCCUACUUAACUUUUAAAAAUCACCGAUCCGUUCAUUUACGUCAAGUUAAAAUCUCAAAACCUCUUAAAUGAGAAAAAAAAGAUUCAAACAAAAAAAACGAUCUAAAACGUUAAGAUUCAAUGCAUGUAAAUUGAGUAUUAGAAAGCGGGGGGAAAAUGAGUGAGAAAGAGUUAACCAUCGAAGCGCUCUUCGAAGAAUACUUCAGCAGAGGCAAUGACGAAGAAAGAGACAAGAAUUAGAAAGAUAAAAUUAGGGAUCGGUUUAGGAAUCGCCAUAGCUGAACUCCACGGAGCGAGAAUGUAGAACUGCAGUGCACUGAUAGUCUGAUGGGUUGUUUAGGUACCGUUUAUAUAAUACUCGUUGCGUUUCAAUGGUUUUCUUCCUUUUUACUUUUUACGGCCCAGUUAAAACGAGGUAUUAUUAUUUUCGGUUAAUAUGACGUGGACUGAAGUUAAUGACUGAAGCCAAUGGCUUGAUGACAUGUCAUUCACUUAUUGACGUGGCAAAAACUUAUUGGCUAGGAAUUUCACGUGACACGUAGGAGGAUUUUGCCUCGUUAUGCUAGGAGUACGUUACGGCUCAUUUCAGCGGAAUUGUGUUACAUGUGGCAAGCAGGCAAUGAUCCACAGAACUGUAGAGGCCGUCCACCUAGACGUUAGUUUGAGGCGUAGCAGCAGAUUAUUUACGUCUCUUAAUUGGUCUCUAAUUAGCGGUUGGGUUUCAGUUUUAUCAUCUCGAAACUUCCAUUAUAAUUGAUGGCAUCUAUUGGUAAAAGAAAAUUUGUAAAUUUGUUUAGAUACUUACGUUUUAGAUAGAUACUAAAGGUGAAUUUGAGUCUAGUAUUAUGAGAAAAUAGCAUAGAAUUAUGCAUAAAAAUAUUAUUUCCUUUAAAAAAAAUUUUCAUCUCAAAUCGAUGUUUGAAAAAUUAAAUCUUAAAUAUUUUACUUGAUAUUUAAAAAAUAUUUUUAUACAAUAUCUAAAAAUUAUUUAUAUCAUAAUUUAAUUCUUAUUAACAUAAUAUUUUAUAUUUUAAAUAAAAGCUAAAUAUAAAAAUUAUUUAUAUCAUAAUUUAAUUCUUAUUAACAUAAUAUUUUAUAUUUUAAAUAAAAGUUAAAUAUAAGUCUUGAUACUUAUUUGAUAGUUAUCGGUACUUAUAAAAUAUAAAAUUGAUUUAAAAAGGUUUACAACAUUUUGAAAGUUUAUAAUGUUAGGCCUUUAGAAACAUGAUUUUAUGUUUUAUAACAUCUGAAAAUAUUUUAGGUAUUAUCAAAUUAAAAUUUACAAAUUUGAUUAAUGAAAUUUAAGAAUUAUUUUAAUAUAUCAAAACUAAAUUAAUUCUAUCGUUAGAUAUUCAUUGAAAAAUUCAAUAGAGUAGUUAAAUUCAAAAUUUUUAUUCGAUUAAAUUUAAAUUUAAAUAUAAUUUAAUUCAUGUUGACGAUAAAAAAUAAAAAUUUAAAUUCAAAAAUUAUUCCAACUCAAAAUAACUAAGUAAAGUAAUCCAACAUUACUUGAACUAAGGAAAAUCCAAUUUUAAAAUCUCAACCAACAAAUUUCAAUAAAAAAAUCAAUAACAACUCAAAAAAUAUAAAAUUCAGAAUCACUAAUCUUAAAUUAGUCUAAUCCAAAAUUAAGGGUGGGUUUAAAAAAUUGAAAUUUUAAAUGCUAAAAAAAUUAAGCAUUGAAUCUGAUAAGUGUUGAAUUCAUAUUAUAAAAUUGUUUGGUAAAUUAGUAAAUAUAAGUAUGGAGUAUAAUUAUAUUGAUUGAUAAAAGUAAAUAUUGAUCUUUAAAAUUUUAUUUAUUUCUUAGUUUUAAUCUUAUAAAUUUAAUAUCUUAUAUUAAUUUGGAUAGUGUUGGAUAAAAACAAAUAUGGUAAUUUGAAUAUUUCUUUUUUUAAAUGAUAUUUUUAAUAAAAUAAAAACAAAUGUAAUGUUUUAUACAUUAAAUGAUAAAUAACUACUUAUCUAUUAAUUUUAUUCAAUAUUUGUUAUUGAAAAUUUUAUAUUAUAUAAAAAUUAAAAUAAUUAUCAAACACAACUAAAAAUUUUGAGUAAUUUAUGAAACACACCCUAACUUCAAUGUAUUUAAUAUAAAGAUAAGAAUAAUGUCAACGGAAUAGAUGGAGUACUUGGGGUUUAAACGAUAAAAAUUGGAUAUUCAAAUUUCAAUGGAAAAAAAAAAGGAGUAAAAGUGCUACAAUUUAUUUGAAGAUAUUAAAAUUGGGUAACUAAAGGCAAGAGUUUAGAUGAAUUUGAAAAGCAAGCCUCCAUGAGCCGCAAAGAAAGGAGCAAACACCAAUGACUCAACCGCCAUGAGCUUAAUGAUCAGGAUGUUGAGCGAUGGACCAGAUGUGUCCUUGAGGGGAUCCCCUAUUGUGUCUCCUAUCACUGCAGCCUUGUGGCAAUCUGAACCCUUUGGACCAAGUGACUUUGCAUGCUCACUACCCCCUGCCUCUAUAUAUUUCUUGGCAUUAUCCCAUGCUCCUCCUGUGUUGGAUGCUGAGAUGGCUACCUGCACACCCGACACAAGUGAGCCAGCUAGAACACCAGCUAGUGUUUCGACUCCUAAGAAGGUUCCGACAAUGAGUGGAGUAAGCAUAACAAGUGCACCAGGUGGAUCAUUUCCCUGAGUGAGGCAUCAGUUGAAAUCUUUACACAGUUUGCAUACUCUGGUUUUGCCGUGCCUUCCAUUAGUCCAGGAAUUGAAUUGAAUUGCCGACGAACCUCUUCGACCAUUUUGAGAGCCGCACUUCCAACGCUCUUCAUUGUCAUGGCUGAAAACCAGUAGGGUAGCAUGGCUCCAACUAUUAAGCCAAUGAAAACCUUUGGUGUCAAUACGUCAACUGACUUGAUGCCUGCUCGGCUAACAUAGGCACCGAAUAGAGCAAGAGAUACGAGUGCAGCUGAGCCGAUCGCAAACCCCUGAAAUUUAAUAAUAGAAACAUGCAAAAAUACUCAAGGACCAAAAACCAAUUUGAAGAAUAAAGAUCAUGGAAUCAACAUAAGCCGCUCACCUUGCCAAUAGCUGCGGUGGUGUUUCCUGCGGCAUCUAAAGCAUCGGUCCUUUCACGUAUCUUGUGGCUCAUUCCAGCCAUUUCAGCAAUACCACCGGCAUUGUCACUAAUGGGACCAUAAGCAUCUAUCGCAAGACCGGUGGAUAUAGUAGUAAGCAUCCCUAUAGCGGCCACAGCAAUUCCAUACAUUGCAGCCAGGCUAAAGCUCACAUAAAUAGAAAUCGAAAUGGCAAAUAUGGGAAUGAUGACAUAUUUGUAUCCCAGGGCCAACCCGAAUAUCACAUUCGUUGCAGCGCCUAUCCUGCAAGAAUCUGCCACAUCCUGCACUGGACUACAAGUAUUUGAAGAGGCAGUAAGCAUCAAAGAUGGGCAUAUCAAAGGCAUUGAUGAGUAACAUAUUGGGCCAGUUUUUCAUUGCUUUUGAAAAGUGCUGUGAAAAAGUGCUUUUAAGAAGUGCUUUUGAAAAAUUUGAGUGUUUGGUAUUGCUGUCAAAAAGUGCCUUUGAAGAAUAAAAUGUUCAUUUUAGACAUGAUAUUAUAAAGUAACAAAUAUGUCUUUAAAUAAUGUUCAAAUUAGUUAAUAUUAUGAUAUUUUAGCAAAAAUAUAAAAAAUAAUUUAUUAUAACUUAUUGUUAAUAUUUUAAUAUAUAAUAUUAAUUUUAAAUAUUUCUAAGUAAUUAAUAUUAAUUAUUUAUUAAAUUUAAUUAGAAUAUAUAAAUUAUUUUUAAAUAUUUAAAUAUAAUAAUUAAAUAUUUGUAAUUAGAUAUUGACACAAUUGUAUUAUUAUAAAAAUUAUUUUUUAUUUUUAAUUAAUGCUUUUAACACAUUUGUAUUAUUUUAUUUUAAAAUGUAUUUGAAUAUAUAACUCAUAUUAGAUAUUAACAUAACAUAGAAAAUAUAAACCUAACAAAUUAAAAUAUUACAUAUAUUUAGAUUAAAGUUUUAAAAAGGGAUAAUAUUUAUAUACCAAAUAUAAAUACUAAAAAUUUUACAAUAGUAUUUACAAUUUAAAGUGAAUUCAUUAAACUAGAAGCUAUAGCAUCUCUUGUUAAUUCCAUUUCAAAACCACUCGAAUUGUUUGAUUCACCGUCAUUAACCUUAGAUUAUAUUCUAGAUCCAAAUCAAACAAAGGAAUGCAGUUUAAUUAAGACAUCAACAAUUGAAAUGCAUUGAUCUAUGAUUAGAGUUAUUUGCUACGGACAAAACUUCAAUGCUACAGAAUUUAUCUAAUAUUUAGCCAAGACUUUUAAGUACAAUAUCAGCAGGGAGACCUUGAUGGUUUGAAAUACUUGUGGCCAAUAUUCUUUUAAGAAGUUAUACAAGUAUAAUUACAAAUAAUAUUGUAUAAAACACAACUUAACUGAAACUGAAAUAUAUCCUACUUGCGUCCAAUACAUAUCUAAAUAUGAGUAAAGAGAUAUGAUUCUCUAAAAACCCACCAAAUACAUAAGCCUCACUUUCACAGAACAUAUUUUGUUUAAAUCUAAACUUUAGGAUAAUAACAAUAGUUCAAUUUUUGGUGCAAAUCUCAGUAAAUUCAACAAAAGAAACUAAAAAAGGUAAAACACUUGCAAUUUGGCAUGAGAAUCACACAAAGCUGAUUGCCGCAAAUCAAUGAGGCGAAUUGAGCCCUUUGAACUACUAUAUGCUACCAUAUUACAGUGGGUAGGGUGAAACUCUGCUGAUGUUAUAACCUCUGCAAUGAUAGACAUUACAAUAACCAUUACUUUUGCAAAUAUAUUGAACAGCAGUGAACUUGCAUAUGCUUUAAGAAGUGAAAGCAAUAGACUAAAGUACCAAAAUAGAAUAGGCUUACCAGUUAGAUCCUCCAUGUUUGCAGGCUUUACAUCGACAAUAUUGAAACUUUGAUUGCUAAUUUCCAAGUUCCAAAGAUUUAUACUGGAGGACACUACUUCAACUCUGAUAACCUCCUUGAAAAAGUGCUUUCUUCUCAAAGCAUUGGUCAAAAGGCUCCUGAAAGAUGAAACAAAAGGAGGUCCACACAGAAUAAGACAUUAACUACGGCCUCGCAAAAACUACAAACUUCUGUGAAUUAGCAUACCUACAAUUUUUGGAAAUAGCUGCUUUAGCUCGUUCCAUAGAGAGACCAAGCAAAGAUGCUAAGUUUGCAACAUCAUUAGGCCCUCUAACUUCACAUACAGAAGGUGCAGCACUAGAAAGUAUGACAUUUUUUCCUCGAGUCCAAUCCAGCAGCAACUGGAAAGUAUGCUACAGAUAAUUAGUUCAAAUUGACAGCAUCCACUACUAUCUAGAACAACCAAAAUUGCAUCUUAUAAAGCAACUAAAAAAUCAUAACUGAAUCUCUCAAUUUUUGCUACUCACCAAUUGUUCAUAUCCUAGUUCAUCACCAUUUCAUCAGCUAUAAAUUUAUAUUUUAAUGCGCUAAAACACAAGAAUUAUUAGUGUCGAAACCCGUUUUUAUUUUGCAAAACGGGGAUCGACUUUGAAAAUGAAAAUAGGAGUCGCCACCGAUCUUUUAUUGAAAGUGUGAUCGAAUCACCUUGAAAACGAUUUUAGGUCUACGAAUUUUGAGAAAAUAGGUUCGGGAGUCGGUUACGUACGACGAAGGGUUAGCACCCUCGUAACGCCCAAAAUUGGUACCGAAUUGAUUGUUUAAUGCCUUAGUGUCGAGAAUUUGGAAAGAUUUUAAAAUACGAUCCUUGGAAAAGAAAAUUCGAAUAAAAUAAAUUGGAUGAUGAGACCCACUUAUUUCAAAAAAAUAAAUUGACACACUCAGUAAGUUAGAAUGCAACAUUUUAAAUCCUCGAAAUUAAAUUUAUCUUUUGACUUUUAAAAUCUAUGCAUUUGAGAAGGAUAUCCGAUUAUUUGGGUCAAAUGAAAAAAAUUAAAACCCAGUAAGUUAGGGUUCGAUUUCACAAAAUUCCUAAAUAUCGAAUAUUGCCUUUAUUUUCAUUUGUUAGAAAUCCUUGUCUCGAGAAAACAACAUGUCAUAUCCAAUGCGUUAGGACACAACGUAUUGAAUUCUCGAGAAUGAGCUUUUUAUUUGUGAUUUCUACGUUUAAAUUGAAAAAAAGGAAAUUCGGUUAUUUAAAUUCAACAAGGAGAAUUGAAGCCCAGUAAGUUAGGGCACAAUCCUCUCGAGAAUCUUAGAUACCGAGUAUUUGAAAACUUAUGGAUAAAUUGGUUUCGAUAUUUAAAACCCUUUAAACGAAAUAAAAUGUGAAUGAACGAUAAAUUAAACAACGAGGUGAUAAUUCGCAAGCUAAAACGCAUACUAAUGAACGCCAAUCAAUAAGUACAAGUGAGCAAUACAAAACACAUGAAUACCAUGAUUUCAUAUCACAUAUUAUACAAAUAUUAAUGACAAUAUUAAAAAUUGAAUUGAAAGUUAAUAUAAUGAUAUAAAAACAAUACCAUACAUAUAGAAAUAACAAUAAAUUAUCGUAAGUUAAUGAGAAGAUAUAAAAUAAUAUUAUAUGAGAGUUUUAUUUAUAUGAAGAACAACAAAUAAAAAAACACAACAAAAUAUAAAGGAGAAUUUUAUAAAUAAAAUGAAAUACGUUAAAAAUAUGACAAAUAAAAGUAAUAAUAAUACAGUAUAACUUUUAAGUAAUAAUACAUAAUAAUUUUAGAAUAAUAAUACACAAUAAUUUCAAAAAUAUGAAUACAUAAUACAUGAUGAAAAAAUAAUAAUGCAUAAUAGUUUAAAAUAAUAAUAUGUAGUAAACUUAAAAUAUAGUACAUAACAAUAUUAUACGUUAAAUCUUAUGUAUAAUAACUUUAAAGUAAUAUGAAGUAUAAAUAUUAAAAAUAAUAUUAGAUCUAAAAUUACCUAUAUUUAAAUAAUAAUGGGAUAACGAAUAUUUAAAAAAGAAAAUAUAAGACAACUUAAUAAGGGUCGAAUUUUAACUUAAAGCAGAAUUAAAGGUAACAAAUGGAAAUAAAUCAAAAUGCGGGGGCUGAAACGAGAUACGCGGAUAACAAGGGGACCCAAAAGGGAAAUAUUCCCGUCCCUGAAAACGCGGCACUUCGUUGUGGAUCAAAUCGAAACAAAAAUGAAAUAAAAGAUUAAAAUUGAAAAGGAAAUAAAAUAAAAAAGUAUCGAAUUGAAAUACUGUUACAAGGUGGAGGGGUCAUGGUUGCAAAUAACCCUCCCCUUACCAAAAAGCGCGGAUCUAGCCGUGGUUGGAUCGGGUCAUCGGGCAUGGUCGCUAAACGGCGUCAUUUGGGCGCUAAGAACCCUAGCUCAAAACGGCGUCGUAUUAUGUCAUUAUUUAAACUAAAAUUUCCUAAAAAAAAAUCAUUUGCAGCUUAUAGUUUUAAAAAAAGAUUGCUGCUCCUCUGCUAGGGUUUCGGCCCUAGCCUUUGACACCUCUCCGCCGCCUCGAUUCCACCGUGAAUGGUGGUCGGAGCCUCACCUCAUAGGGCUUUUUGGCUCCUUUUUGCGCAUACUCGGAGGCAUCACGAGGUAAGGUUCCUCCUUUUUUUCUUUUAUUAUUCGCGUAUGUAUACAAAAAAAGAACGAAUCGAAAAUGGAAAAAAAUGGAAAAGCAAGACGAACGUUCCGAUUUACCUCAAACUUUUUUUUUGUUUUGUAUUUCAAUGUCCCUCCCUGUUUACAAUGCAUAUUUGGCUUUUAUAUAGACAGAAAAAUGAAAAAAUAAUUACGAAAGAAAUACGUUUCACUCCCUUUUUGUUUGCUGCUAUUUUCUAUCCGUAUUUUCUCUUUUAUGCUGUGUUUUCUGUCAUUGUUUGUCGCUAUGUGUUUGCUACGAGUUGUUGCAGGUGUACUGAGCAGUGGACGUGGAGGUGUGGUACGUGGCGGUGGUGCACGUGCGAGGUAUAGCUCGGAAGGGAUCUCGUGUUCGAUUGCGGCACGAUAGCUGCUAAGGGCUAGGGUUUCGGCUCUGUUUUUUUUAAUGUAAUGGGCCUAGGGUUAGUGAUUUAGGUUAGUGGGCUAGGUGCAUUGGGCCGUUUGGGUUUAAUUUUUAAUGGGCUGCAAAUUUGGGUUACUGUAAUUGGACUGUUAUGGACUGUUAUAAUUUUUGUUUGGUUUAUAUUUUUUUAUUACGGGCCGGGCAAAUUGGGCCUAUUACAAUUAGAACACAGCAAAAAAAGAAAGAAAGAAAGAAACAACUGUUCAAAAACAAUGCAACAAGCUCUGGAUUCCUCACCUUAGCAUUGGAUAUGAUUUGCCUCCUUUGAUGAACAUCCACAAUAAGAUCAUAAUAUGUUAUUUCAAAAUAUAUCCCACGCUGCGAGACCCCAAGAUGAAAUUAUCCAUUAAAACAAAUCAAAUUUUCAAUUUUGAAUGAGUAUAGAAAUCAAGUCAAUAACAAACCUUAAUAUAUAGCUGGUUUAACCAUAGGCAAUUUCAAUCGAAACGGCAACUUGUCUCAGAAAUCAAUUGAAAUUAUAUCCACCUAAAUCACAAAAAAAAAGAAGUUAAAACCUAUAUCUUUAAAAUUUUCUCCAUUGAAAUUUGAAUCAAUUAAUGACCUCGGCUUUUUCGCAAGCGUUAUCAAAUGCAUUUUGGUUCAACGGCCUAACGGCAACAAUGCUGUACGUCUUCAAUAUCGGGUUUCCCGAAUUUAAACCUUGUGACUGCGAUGCGGUAUCAAUGCAGAAGGUGAGGCGCAUGUAUUGGCGAAAAGGAAAGGAGCGAGGGACCCCGAGGAGGUCUCGGUGGAAGUUUACGGAAGAGGAGAGAAAGGGGGCGACAUUGAGGAGAGAGGAAAGACCAAGAAGAGGAAUCGAGCAUCGGUCGCGAUCAAACAUGACACCCCUGAUCGUACGGUUGUAGGCGAUACCCGUGUAGCCCAGCUCCAUCGCUUUGAUCACAAUUUUAAUGCGGGUGGAUUUGGCAACGGUGGAAUUCGCCUUGCUGAGCGGCUUGGAAUCCGUGUAUGGAAUGUUAAGGUCGAAAACCCCCAUAGGUUCUCAGACAGAGAUUAAACAGAAGAGGAACUAAUUAAACAGAAGAAGAAGUAAAGAAACUCUCACCUGCGGAAGAGGAACAAAGAAUAGGAAAUAGCUUUGAAAGCCGAAAAUGGGGAAAAAAUUGGGUAUAAAGCUCCAAUUUCACCAGCAGAGGAAAAAGAACGUUUGGGGAACCAGCAGAGGGGAAAAAACGUUUGGGGGAGAAGACAGGUUAAUUUGGUCAAUUAUCAUCCAAAAGCAGUUCAAGUUGAAGAAAAGGAGAAAUUUUUAGCUUCUUCAUCUGGAGAGAAACCCUUUUCUGAUGGUGAAAUUUUUACCUAAAAGGAGGCUAUUCUUCAUUCCGUUUAAGAGAAAAGGACUUUUUAUUGAAAAAGUCCUUCUCAACCGUGGAGAAGAACGGGGCCUUAAUGUCCUUACCUGUAAGCAUUGUUAGUAGGGGUGUUCAUUCGGUUAACCGACCCGAAAUUACUAUAACCGAAUUAACCGACCUUCCAAAAAUUUUAACCGUUAAUCGAACCGAUUUUUUUUUAAAAAAAUUAACCGAACCGAAAAUUUUUCGGUUAAUAAGGUCGGUUAACCGAAUUAACCGAAAAUUAUGUAUUUUUUAUUUUUGGUUAAAAAUUACCCGAAUUACCCGAAUUACCCGAAUUACCCGAAUUAACCGAAUUAACCGAAUUACCGAAAAAUACCCGAAUUACCCGAAUUUUUUUAUUUUUUAUUUUUAAAAUUUAAAAAAAUUAUAAAUUAUUAAAGUAAAUUGGGUUUUAGACUUUAGUAAAUUGGGUUGUCUUUUAGUUUUAGUUUUAUUGGAUUGGGUAAUUGGGUAAACUUUAGUUUUAGUUUUAUUGGGUUGAGUAAUUGGGUUGGGUAAUUGAGUUUGGGCUGGGUUGGAUAAUUUUAUUUAUUAAUUUUUUCAGUUAACCGAAAAUUUUCGGUUAACCGACCGGUUUCGAACCGAAUUAACCGUUAACCGAAAAAUCAUAAAAAAAUUAACCGACCCCGGACCGAAAAAAUUCGGUUAACCGACCGAUUAACCGAAUUUUUUCGGUUUUACCUGAAUUAUGCACACCCCUUAUUGCUAGUGUAAUAUUCUGUUUAAUGUAUCCGAUCACAAGUCCAGCCCACAAGCCAAUAGAAACACAGAAGAAAAGGUGCCUGCAUGGUACAUAAAUUGUUAAAAGCUGACCGGAACCUUCAAAUGAAGAGAAAACAGUUUACAGUUUGCUUACUAAUUCUUCACUUCCUUCAUAGCUCCGAAAUCGAAGAGAGUGAACUCUGAUGGCCAUGCAAAGAAGCUGACCAUGGCAAUCCCAGCAGUCAUCAGGAUGGUGGAGAUAAGGAGUUGCCGUUUCAAGGAUGGUUCGAUUUCUCUUACAUUCUUAAUCUCAAACAUAUCAGUUGCAAAGAGUGUAGUUAUCAAGCAAAGCACGAUUCCCAUUGAGCUAAUGAUCAAGGGGUAAGACAUUGCUGUAAAGUCGUGAUUGAUACCAAAGGAUGAUAUGGAUGCAACAAAAAGAGCUGCACAUGAUGAUUCAGCAUAAGAUCCGAAUAAAUCGGAACCCAUGCCGGCGAUAUGUCCUACAUUAUCGCCCACAUUAUCAGCAAUAGCCUGAAUAAAAAUUGUUCAUCGUUUAGAAUAUAAGUGGCAUAAGACUCAGAACUAAUUAUUGGAAGCUAAACAACAAACAGAACUUAUUCCAGGCUAAUAGGUUUAGGAACUGUGGGAACUCACAGCUGGAUUUCGUGGAUCAUCUUCAGGAUAUUUCUCUCGACUUUACCGACAAGAUCAGCACCGACAUCGGCUGCUUUUGUAUAUAUUCCUCCCCCAACUCUUCCAAAGAGAGCCAUAGAAGAACCACCAAGACCAUAACUAGUAAUAGAUUCAUAAAGUCCCUCCCAGUCAUCACCAUAGUACAGUUUAAACAAAUAAAUGGAUACAUAGAGAACCAAAAGCCCAUUGGCUGCAAGCAGGAAACCCAUGACUGCUCCCAAGCGAAAAGCAAUUAUGAAUGCCUUUCCAACAUCCUUCCUUGCCUCUAGAGUUGUUCUAGCAUUGGCAUAAGUUGCAAUCUUCAUCCCUAGAAAACCUGAGAGAACAGAAGUAAGAGCCCCAAGCAAGAAAGCAAUCGUGCUAAACACGGCAUUCGCCAGGGCCGGUUUGCAAGUAUUUCCCUGGUUAUAUAUGCAUGGUUCACUUUUGGUGGUGAACCCCUUAACUGAACCAAGGAAGAGGAAGAUGAUGACACCGAAUACACCCAUGAAGAUACCGAGGUACUUGUACUCGGUAAAGAGAAAAAAGGUUGCACCUGGGAACAUUGACAUUUUUAGUAGAACAUAAUGGAUGAUAUGAAUCGAACUUUAUGUUAAAAACACCGUAAAUACUGAUAAAAGGAGCAAUUGAAAGAAAAGAGGUUACCAAGAGAAAUGGCAUGUUGAAUCUCAGCACACUUGAUAGAAACCUCAAUGUUGUCAAUACCCUCCUCUUCUUCAUCAGCUUCAAUCAGCUUUACUUUAUACCCAUUGCUUGAAUCAUGUGAUGAGACCUUCACCCUGGAGAACAAAAGCCACUGAAGCAAAGCAAAAUCAAUGCCCACCAAGGCAGCUACAGGUAUCAAAACCUGGGUAAGAGCCUCACUCGAUGCACCUAUUUCCACAAACUACCACUUAUCUCACUUUGUUUCUUGGCUUGUCCUAGCAAAAUAUAGCACAAACUGGUAUCUGGUUUUCGAAGCACAGUUUUGGAAAAGCUACAAUCUUCAGAAGUAGGCAAUCCAAAGUGGACCACUGAAAAUAUGCAAAGGGGUUGUUUUGAACGCCAGAUAGGACAAAACUUGUGUGUUUACGGGUUGUUUUGAUUAACAGUUUCGAGUUUUGUCUAUGUUAGCACAUUUCAUGUUGCAAAGUUGUUUUUUUGUAUUUUCAGGCUAUAGUUAACAUUUUCUUUGAUGGUUAUUUGAAAGACAAGCAUUAAUGGUUUAUUAUAUUUUCUUUUUCUUGACUUUGAUGAACAAAGACUUGGCAAUCGGUUUUUGAUAGAUUCAACCAGAUAAAACAAAGCAAUAUAUUCAGACCAGGAUGUGAAUGUCAAAUACGAUUAAGUUUAUUUUUUUAAAGUUUUGAUCCAUGGAAACUUAAUUCCUUAUAACCAUGAUAAAAAUAUUUUUUUUAAAAAUGAAAAAUCAGAAUAAAACAGAUAUCUACCUUGUGAAUAAUUAAAACAGAUUGCUUGAUUCCAUUUAAAAUUGUUAAUAUUGAACAUGUAGGUAACUCCAGUUGAUAUGCUUCAAACACCAACUAGGCAAUGUGCCAAAUUGCCAAUGUCAUUGCAUUUUGAGUCGUUAUCACUUAUUACUAUAUGAUUUUAAUCUGAGAAAAGCCAGUAAGCUAGUGGAUUCAAAGCAUGUUGAUAUCAAUUAAUUGUAGAGAUUUGGAUAUUGAUGUGCCAAAAAUUUCAAUCUCAAGAGGGUUGAAAAAGAAAAUGUGUUUUGUGUGCAAACUUUUACUUUGCUCAACCGUGAAGUUCCAUUGGUGGCAAAGCUUAGCAGUCAAUAUCUGCUUUGGAAACUGCAUUCCUCCAUCUAAAUGUUGCUAUAAAAUUGGAUGGUGAGAUCACAUGGAGUAGACUUUCCUUUCCUUGGCCUUGAAGCUUCACAUUGCUUGAGCUUAUCAGCUUUGAACUGUCAUUCAUUUGGAAUUUCAACUGCAAUUCUCCAUCUUAAAAAGAAUUAAAUAUUCUAUCUACAUGGAAAGAUGAUUAAAAGAUUCAAUUUACUUAAGAGAAUGUCCAUUUACUGCUCAACUUUGAAGAAAUCAUGUUAAGUCCUUCAAAUCUAUUUACCAACCAAAUUUUAAAUAAAAAAUAUAUAAUUAUCACAAUCAACAAUUUUGAGGCCUUGAGAACUUUAAUAUUUCAAGUUGGAGUUUUACUCUGUGUAAACCAUAUGUAGGGGUGAAGUCAAAUAAAUUUUUUUGGGUAGGGUCGGAAUUAAGUUGUAUAUUUUUAUGAGAGUUAAAAUGUAAUUUCAUAAUUUUAAUAAUUUAUAUUUUUAUAAUUUUAAAAAUACUAAAUCAAAAUUUUAUCAAUUUUAAGAUAUCAAGAUGUAAUUUUUAAAUUAAAAUUCUAUGAAAUUUAAAGGGUAAAAAUGAUGUCAAAACCAUUUCUAUUUUGGAAAAAAAUAAAAAUUAGUUGUUGAUGAAAAUUGGAGUCGCCACCAAUUUUUUAUUGAAGUGUGAUGGGAUCACCUAAAAAAUUGCUUUGGUCUACGAGUUUUAGAAAAAUGGAUCCGGGAGUCAGUUACGUACGAGGAAGGAUUAGCACCCUCGUAACGCCCAAAAUUGGUACCUAGUUAAUUAAUUAGUGUCUUAAUGUCGAAAAUUUAAAAAUAUGAUCCUUAAUAAAAACUUAAAAAACGUUACUUAUUAAGACUCUUAUCAUUUCGGAGAAAGAAAAUGUCACACUCAAUGUGUUACGGCACGACAUUCUAAUUCCUCAAAAAUGAAUUAGUCCAAAAUACUCGUGUAAUAAAAUUUAAAAGAAUAUUCAUUUGUUUAAGAUUUAUAAAGAAAUCGCGACCCAAUACAUUAGGGCACAAUUUCUCAAAAUCCUAAACUUGUAAUAUUUCCUUUGUUAUUAUUUUUUUUAAAAAAAUCUUUGUCUCGAGAAAUCAAUACGUCACAUUCAAUACGUUAGGAUACAACAUAUUAAAUUCCCGACAACAAGCUUUUCAUUUUAUUUUUUGAUUAAUGAGCAAUUCUCGAUUGUUAGGUUUAACGAAGAAAAUUGGAACCCAAUACGUUAGGACUCAAUUUCCUUGAAAAUCCUCAAUACGAAUAUUAUCUCAAUUUUGAAAUUUUUAAAAUCGAGUAAAAAAAAUGAUGUAAUGCUACAUUAAGUGUAAAAUACAAUAAUAAAUACAACAAUGGCAUAGAAAUAAACGAAAUUAAUGUACAUAAAAAACAACGACAUGUAAAGUAUCAAAUGAACAAAAUAUAAAUGAAAACAUAAAUCAAUAAGCAAUGAGGAAUAACAAAAAAAUAUAAAGAGAAAAAAGGUACAAAAUUAUAAUCCAUGAAAUUAUAAAGAAUAAAAGACAUACACAUGGGUUUACAUUAUAAAAUUUUGGACUAUAGAAUUUAUACAAAAUAUAUAUAAUGCAUUUAUGAAAAUAAAGAAAAAUAUAUAAAUAUACAUAUAUAUAUUAUAACAUAUGUGUUGAAAAUAUAAGUUUGUAUUUAAGCAAAUAAAAAACAUAGACAUGUGCGUAUAUAUAUAAAAAUAUUCAUUAGAAAAAUAUAUAAAUACAUACAUGUACAUAUAUACAAAAGUAAAAAAAAAUUGAAACUAAAUAUAAAAGUAUAUAUAUGUAUAUAAAAGUUAGGAAGAAAAAUAAAAACAAAAACAUAUGUAUAAAAUAUAUAUAAGCAUAUGUAUACUAUAUAUAAAACAAUAUAUAUUACAUAAAAACGAUGCAUGCGCAUGAAUAUAAAAAUAAAAAUAAUAAAAAAAUGAUAAUAAUAAUAAUAAUAAUAAUAAUAAUAAUAAUGAUGAUGAUGAUGAUGAUGAUGAUGAUGAUGAUACAAGAUUAAUGAUGCCACAUAAUAGUAUUAAUAAUAUUAAAAUAAUUAAUUUAAUAAUAAAAAAACUAAAAUAACAAAUAGAGGAUUAAAUAACAUCAACAAUCAAAGACCAAUGAAUUUAAAACAAAGAGUAUAAAAAAAAAUAUAAGGCCAAAUAAAAUGUAAACAAAUUUGAAAAUAAUGAAUUUGAAAAUGAAUAAUAAGGGAAAAAGAGAUUUGAAAUCAACAAUAUACAAAUCAAUAAAUAAAUUAUACACAAAUCAACAAAAUAAGAACGCAAGAGAGAGAGAAAUUUGAGUAAAUACUCUUAAGAAUUAUUAUUACUCCCCCCUUUCGUCCUUUACAAUGAAGGGAGAGGCAUCUAUUAUAGUUGAGCCUCCCCAAAUCCAACGGUAUAGAUUAAUUACAUCAACGACUAAGAUUAAAAGGUAUCUACAAAUUAAAUCUCUAAGAUUACAAAAUCAUAUCUUCUAAGAUUGCAUAUCAUAUCUAAGAUUAUAUAUCAUAUCUAAGAUUGCAUAUCCUUGAAUAUUAUGUUUCCAUAUGCAUCAAGCUUGUAGAUAGACCUUCAACCUUUUCAAGUAAUGGGCCAUCCCGAUCGGGCCAAAUGAUAUAAUUUUGGAUUUUGUUUUAUUAUUUUAGGGGUAUUAUUUUUUAUGAGCCUGGGCUAAAUUGGCCUAUUACAAAUGAAAUUUUACAUUUUUAUGGAGUCAGGCCCCUGCCAUUGCCUUCGCCUUGAUCAUAUGUGAGUUUAUAUAUAUAUAUAUAUAUAUAUAUAUAAUCUCUUAACUUCAAAACACACUUUGAAUCACUCGAUUUCAAGUUCGGUAGCUCAAGUUAUGACCGUUUUAGUGAAUAUUGUGUAAGUAGAAUUUCUGGAUGUAAUUAUUACGAAAAUUAUGAAUUAUAGAUUUUUAAUUCGAGUUUAAAUCAUAUUGAGUUUGUUUUUUAUGCUUAAUUUUUAUUAUAUAUGAGCUCAAUAUUGUAUUUAUCAGGUUUUAUUAUUUUAUUCUUUAUUUAUCUUGAAUUUUGGAUAUUGUUUAAGUAUUUUAAGUUGUUUAGGAGUUUUAUGUUUCUUAGUCAAAAAAGAAGAUUAGUUUAAACUACUUCUUAUUUAUAUUAAUUAGAGUUUCAGUAUACUUCAAUGUUCAUUAAUGACACAAUUAUUUUUAUCAAUAAAGUUUUCAACUCUAAGAGUUACUUUCUUUGUACAAGAUUUCUGUAACACCCCUAAAAUUGAUAUAUAAUAAAAGUAGUAACAAAUUGAAUAAUGUAUAAUUGAUUUUUCGGUAAAAUGAGAAAAUAAUAUAAAGAUGAUAAAAAAGAAGAUUGAGGAGUAUUUAAAAAAAUUAAUUAAAAAGUAGGUUUUAGUAUAUUGAUUUAAAGUAAGGACUAAAUCAUAAAUAUGGGAAAUUUUUUUGGCUCAAGUGUAAAAAUGAGAAAGUUGAAGGAUCAAAAUUGAAAAUAGCCCAAUUUACUAUGAUAUGGAAUUGACAUGCAGGGACCAAAUUGAAUAAGUGAAGAAUUGUGAAGGACUAAAUUGCAAUUUUGCCGAAUUAAGUGAUGAUUCAAUAAUGAAAUUUUGAAAAAUCAUAAAGGGCAAAAUGGUCAAUUAGUAAGAGGAAGAAUUCUAGAAUGUAAUGAUGAUGUUGAUGAUAUUUUUGUGAUAUUUUUAAUUAAUUAAUUAGUUAAAUAUUGUUUUAUUAAUUUUACUUAGAUAUUUAUUAUUACUUUAUUUAGAAAAUGAUAGUAUAAAAAGAAAGGAAGGAUGGAGAAAAUUAAUCAUCCUUCCAACGUGAGUAAGAGGGUGAGAAAGGAAGUUUUCUUUUCUUUACAAUUUAGUAAUUUACCAUGAAAAUCCAUUUUUUAAUCCAAAUUUUUUGAAAAUUUCCUUAGACGUUAAAGAGAAAAGAUGAAGCAAAGAUUAUAGAGAAUAUGUUCAUCAAAUUAGAAGUAAGAAAAUAGUAGAUGAAAGUGGAGAAAAUGAGAAGAAAAAUGAAGGAAAGUGGUGAAGAUGAGAAAUGAAUGGAAAGGAAGAAAUUCUUGACAAAGGAGGUAAGUUUCAUACUAACCCUACUUGUAUUUCAAAAGGUUGAGUUAAAUAUGUUGUGAAUGAGAUGUAUGAAACAUGUAUUUAAUCUAAAUACUAUAAAUAGAAAGUAUUUUAUGAAGAAUACAAACAUAAAACACUAAAUUGGUAAGAGAGAAUGAGAUUUAUAUUGUGAAAAAUACUAAGAUUGAGAAAUAAAUAUGUAAUCUAAACAUAAAAAUAAGUAAUUAAAUUGUAUAGUAAUCAAAAUUAUGGUAAUUAUGUGUGAUUGAAUGAAAGAUAGUGCAAAAAGACCAUGAAAAAGAAAAUAUUUUCAUUAAAACAGUUUGAAUAGCAACAAUGAAUUAACUUUGAAAAUUCACAAAAAAAUAAUAUAAAUUUACUUAGAGGUGUAAUUAAAUAUGAAAUUAAAGCUUAUUGAGUCUAGUUUUGUAUGGAAGAAAUGGUGAAAGAAAAAGAAUUGUAUAUUUUGAGAUAUAUUAGUUUUCGUGAAAUAAGGUCGGAGUGGAUUCAGGUUCCCCUAUUCUGACUUUGAAAAAUCAUCAAACAAUUUUAAAAAACUAUUAAGGAUUGCAAUUUGUAUUUUUAAAUUAUUAAUGAGUUCAUCUUCAAGAGAAACAAACAAAAACAUCAUCUGAAUCUCGUACUAAGAGAUAAUUAAUUUUUAGUAAAGAUUCAGGUUUGAGAUAUAUUAGUUUUCGUGAAAUAAGGUCGGAGUGGAUUCAGGUUCCCCUAUUCUAACUUUGAAAAAUCAUCAAACAAUUUUAAAAAACUAUUAAGGAUUGCAAUUUGUAUUUUUAAAUUAUUAAUGAGUUUAUCUUCAAGAGAAACAAACAAAAACAUCAUCUGAAUCCCGUACUAAGAGAUAAUUAAUUUUUAGUAAAGAAAUGUCGAAGUUAUCAAGCAGCAAAAUAUGGAAAAUUUUGAAGAAUUUAAUGUACUGAUUGGCUAAAUUAGAAAUUAGAAAUUAGAAAUUAUAAAAAUUUUGUGGUAAAAAGAUAUUUGAGUCUAGUUUCAAAAAUAUCAAGCAGAUUUUAAUUUCAAAUUUUGUGGCUCGAUAUAUAAAUACUUUAGUGACUAUGACACAAGUGGACAACUUUGAUAUGAACACAUAAUUAAGUAGUGAAAUUAUAGUUAAUAGUACAUAUAAGCAUGUCAUACUAAAAGCUAAAGAUUCUAAUAUAUAUAUAUAUAUACAUAAAGGAUGAAGAAUGAAAAGGAUGUAAUAUCUUGUUUUUAGUGAUGUCGGAAACAGUGGUUUCGAGACCACAAAUCUAAUGAAUGAGUCUAUAAUUAUUAUUGUUUAAUUCAUAUGAGUCAACUAUAGUUUUAUAUUGAAUUUUGAUUUGAUAAAUUUUUACUAAUUGAACAAAUAGUUAAGUACAAGUGGUUUGUCCUGAAAACGAGUGAUUUUGAAAAAUGAGGUAUCGAGACCUCGUUUCGGUAAACUGAACUCGUAAAUAUUUUAAUAAAAUAUUUACGGAGUUAUUAGAUAGGUAUAUUGAAGUUUGAUCCAAAAAUUUUAAUGUUUGGCUAGUUAAUUAAAGAAAAGGGACUAAAUCGUAAAAAAUGUAAAACUUAGUGGCUAUUGAAUUUUAAUGAUAAAAUGGCUUAAUUAAUAUAAGUGGAAGUAAUUAUAAGAGAAUAAUACCUUCAUGUAUAUAUAUAGUGGACGGUGAUGUAUUUUGAUUAAUUUUAUAUGUUAAUUAUAUGUUAUUAAUAAUUAUAAUAAUAAGUAAAAAGAAAUAUAAUAAUAAUAACAAUAAUAAUAAUAAUAAUAAUAAUAAAAAUAAUAAUAAUAAUAAUAAUAAUAACAUUAUCAUCUUUCUUCUUCAACUUAACAAAUCGAAACACCAUGGAUAAACAUUCAAAAAGCUUCAGUCAAAUUCUUUACUCUUACAUGGUGUGUAAUUUUGAUCCGUUUUUAGUAAUUUUUAUGUUUUUGAAAUUGUUGCAACUAGGUCCAACUAACUUGUAUUUUCAUUUUCAAAACUAUUAAAGUUUGUUAAAAUUACCAUCAAUGGUUUUUGGAUUUUCUUGAUAUUAAAUGGAAGAUUUUGAAGCUUGGAAAUGUUUUAGGACUAUUUUGUUAAGUGAAUUUUGUUAGUUUUGCACUUAAAGACUAAUAUGUAAAUAUGUUAAACUUAGCAUGAAAAUAUUGUAAUUUUUAAGUGAUUGAGGCUGAUUAUGGAUGGAAUUAGAAUUGUUUAUGUGUAAUGGGGCUUAAAUGUGAAUUUUUUAAUAGUUUCAAUUUUAGGGACUAAAUUGAACAAAGUAUAAAAGUUUAGGAAAAUUUUGUAAAAUGGAAAUUAUAAGUCAUAUACAUAAAAACAGAUAUGAUAAUUUAUUUUAAUUUAAUAAAUUAAAUUUAACUAUUAUAUAGAUCAAGGAUGGAACCAUACGAAGGAAAAAAGGGAAAAUUGUAGAAUAGUCCCAACAAACAAAUUUAUCUUGCUAGUUGUAUUAGGUAAGUUCAUAGAAUAGAUAUAUGUUUAUAUGUUCAUUUAUAUAUUUUUAUGAAUUAUUUAAUUAAAUUGUGGUUGAAUUUUUUAAUAUUGAAUUGAGGACAUUAACUGUUUACGGUUGAAUGUAAGCUGAGUGAGAUUUACUUGAAAUAUGAUGAAUAUAUAUAAUUUAUAUGUUUCGGAAAGAAAAUAAUUGAAUAACAGCAUGUGUAUGGGAAUAUUUCUUGAAGUGCCACAAAGUUAUAGUGUUAUGAAAUCCGUUAAAUGCUCGUUUGAACGUAGUAAACGAUUAGGAUACGAUUGACAUGCCAAUAAAGUUAGAACGCACACUUGUACGGGAUUGCACAUAUGUGCCUCUGUUUGCACUUUGGUGUCUUUGUAUGCACUUUGGUGCCUUUGUAUGCACUUUGGUGCCUCUGUUUGCACUUCGAUGUCUCUGUUGGCAUUGCCAUGCUAUGUGGUGUGUUAUAGGUACCCAAGUAUCCAAAUUAAGUUACUAUAGUUCAUCGGGCCAAAUGUUAAAUGGAAAUAUAUGGAUUGACUUCAUGAAUUGCUUGGAAAUGUUAUGUUUAUACUAAUAUUGAAAUGUUAACUAAUGAAGUUGCGUAAGUGAUGGUUAUAUGUUCAAAAGAUGUUAACGAUAUCAAAAUGAUUAGAAAGUUUAUAGUUUAUAUGUAUGAAAUGCUCACUUUGUAAAUGUGAUAAUGGUGACAGAAUUAUAUAUUUAAAAGAAAUGGUAUAUGAAAGUGAAUAUGAAUUGACAUGAUCAAUAGUUUAAUAUGAUUUAUAUGUUGGUUCUUUCCAAUUGAAUCAUACGGAAAAAAGUAGUAUUGAAUGAUUGAGAGAUUAUAUGAUUCAUACGUGAAAUGCUCACCUUAUGAUUGUUAAUGUAUUAACAGGAUAUCAUAUUAAAUUAGUUAUAUCUAUUUACUUAGCUGCAAAAUGAGGUAAGAGUUUUGUCUAAAUACCUAUGAACCUACUCAACUUUAUAAGCUUACUCUAUUUCUUCGCAUGUUUUUUGUAGUUGACGUUUUGUGGAAAUAGGCAGUUGGAUCAACUUCAAGGCUUAUACUAUCAAGCUUUAGUCUCGGUAGAUUGAGACUCGUUUAUUCUGGUUUUAUGGUAUGUAUAUAAGUGAUCUUUGGGUUGUUGGUUUGAAGUUAUAAGUUGAAGUUGUAUUGUACUAGAAUGGUUUCCUUGUAUAAGGUUGAAUUUAAAGAUUCUUAUGGUAUGCUUAUAUAAUAUGUGACGAAUGCAUGGGUGGUGAUAGUAUGCUUGAUCUUGGUUCAUGAAAUAAUUGGAAAAAUGGUAAAUCUUGAAUGAAAUGUAUGGUAUAUGUGUUAGUUGAUAGUGUGAUUUAUGCAUCUAUUGGUUUAAGUUGUUUCAUUGAUAUGGUAAGCGUUGAACAUGUAAAUAGGGUUUUGAUAUGUAUAUGUUAAUGACUAUUUUGGUAAUGCUUUGUGCCAUUUGAAGUAUAAAAGGUGUAUAUAGAUGUAAAUCUCAAAUGGUAUUAUGGUAGAUUGUGGUGUGAAAUAGAAAUGCCAUGUUUUGGUAUUUAAAUGCAAUUUGAAUGGUUGUUUUGGUAUAAAUGUUUUAGGUAACUUGGUGGUUUUGGUCGAUAAUAUGCUAGCAAUGUGAAUAAUGGUGUAAUGUGUUUGAUUUGGUAUUGCAUUCAUGGAAUGGAUGGUAUAAAUUGCUAAUGGUUAAUGCUUAAAAUGGUUAUUAUUUUAAUGUUUGAAUUGUGCUGCUAAUGAGGGCAUAUUGGUUAGGCACUUAGGCUGAAGGUUGUUUGGUAUAUUUUGGCAUGUUUUGAUGCAUUUUGAAUAGGUUUAAGGAAUGGUUAUGGUAUGGUUUGGGACUUAAGGAAUUGUAGGUGAAAUGACUUGAUUUUUGAGGCACUUUUAGGUGGCCACGGUUAGCCACAUGCCCGUGUGGUUCUUUAAAUUUUUUGUGUAGGUUUGUCCACAUGGGCACAGGUUGCUACACAGUUUGGCAACACAACCAUGUCUCUGCACCACACGGGCUGAGCCCUGUCACACGACGUGACCAUGUGACACUUGUUUUCAAUUUUUAGCCUAUUUUCAUAUUUUGGUUCAAUUUAAUCCUUGGCAUUUUUAAAUCAUUUUAAUGCUUUUUAGGUUCAAAUUAAGUCUUGCUUGAGUUUGAAUAACAUGUUUAUUGAAUGAAAUUAUUUAUGAUUGAUUUAAAAGUAAAUUUUUGAAUUGAAACAAAUAUGUUUUUUUUGUUAUAUGUUGUAACUUUUCGUAACUCUAAUCCGAUAACAGAGACGGGUUACGGGUGUUACAGAGGAGGAGGGGGAAAAUAGUAGAUGAAUUUGAAAUGUUACGAAAUGAUUAUAAGUGAUGGAAUGAUUAAUACAUGUGAAAAUGUUUAAACGAAUCGAUAAAAUAGUAAGUGAAUAAUUGUUAAUUGAUGUGAUUUGGAAUCUUGACUAAAAUUUUAUGAAGAAUUAAAUUAAUUGGCACAAAUUAGAAAUAAAUAAGAAAUAUACAUAAAGUGAGUAAACUACUUUAGAAAGUGCAAGUCCUCCAAUGGGCUUAUUUGUAAAACUUUCAAAAUUGUGUUAAUUUAUAAACUUUGUUAUCUUUGAUUGAAUAUCAUGUUUAAUAAGCUCCUUUAACUCAUAAAUAAUUUUUUUUAUAAACUGAAUUAUUACUAAAACGAGUAUAGUGGUUUUCAAUAAUUAAAUAAUAAGAUAAAUCAAUCUAAAAUUUUUGUAGUUGCUUCGGCAACAAAUGUAAUAUCCCGGUACCUUGACCCGGUGAUUGGGUCGGGUAUAGGGGUUUUACAGUUUCAUUCUUGUGAUUUUUAGAAUUAGUUUUCUUUGUGCAAGAUUUAUUUCUUGUGAUUUUUAGAAGUAGUUUUCUUCUUGAUUUUCUUCAAGGAGUCGUGAGAAUUCAUUCUUCAUCCUUCAAUUCGCCAAGAAUUAUUUGUUGGAGGAUUGGUUAGAGCCAUUAAUUGAAUUUGUUUGGGUUUAUAUUCCAAAUGGUCCAAUUGUACACUUAUCUAUCUAUCCAUCACAUACAUCAGUUUAUUCAAUCCAUCUUCCACUUUUAAAUUUCGUUUAUUUAUUAUUUUGAAUAUUUAUUCUUAGUCUUAAAUUUCUUCUUUUAGUGUUUUCGUUUUCUUUAAUUUCUAAAUUUGUUUAUUUCUUCUUUAUAGGUCAAAUUUGAAUAUAUAAACAACUUGAAUACGAUCCUAAUCCACUUCCUCCGUUUAAUUCUCUAUCAUUUGGUAUCAAUUUUGGGCCUUUUUGAGUUAUUUCCUUAUGCAAUACAAUUUGUUUUGUUGAUUUUAAUUAAAUAGUUUCUAAAAAAAAAUUAAAAAAUAACUUUUUUUGGGAAGAAUUUUGUGCCUAGAAUUUUUAGAUAUGAUAUUUAUCAUAUAAAGAGACUUCAGUUCAAUUUUUGUGAUUUUAGCACAUCGAGAACACCUUGAACGAAAAAUUCAAGUUGUUUUCCAUUUUUCAAGUUUUCAGAUGGGUAGUUUAUUUUCUUUGAUUCUAGCAUUAUGUUUUCUUUUGUUUUAGAUUUUCUUAUUUUAUUAUGUAUUCUAACUCAUUUUGGUUUCUGGUGUUAAUAGGUAUGAAAAGGGUUGCCUCUCUUUUCUCCACGCAACUUACUUCCUUUGAAGUCAAAUUUUUCUUUGGCUUCUUAAAGCCUUAGGUCAACUUUGUUAUAGAGUGAUCCCACAUAUUUUUUAAUAUUAUUUAGUUUGAUUACUCUUUAAAAGUUACAAACGAGAAAAUCUUCUUUUCUUUUCCUUUUAGAGUUGUUUACUUUUAUUACGAAUGUAUAACAGUGAGGUUUAAUUUUCUUUUAUCAACUUUUUUUGUGUUUUUUCAUUUCAACCUCUAAUAAUGGUACGUACACAUUGUAAGGAUGAGGAGCAUGAUCCAUCCAUGCUUACCAUGGACCAACUUACAGCAAUGUUCGACGAACUUUGAAAAGAUUUCAAAGAGGUGCAAGAGCAUUUGGAAAAUAAGUUCGACACAUUACAAGCUCAAGUCAUUCAUCAUAAGACAAAUAAUAAACCUUGGGCAAGACAUAGAUGUCAUAUUUGUAAAAAACUUGCACGAACAUGUUUCUAAUGUCAUUCAACCUUCUAUUGUUCGUGGACUUGUAAAGAAAGACAUUGGUACAAAACACAUAGUAUCUUCUAUGAGCUUAAACGAAUUAUGGCAAAACAAAGAGAACGAGCUAGCAAGUGCAUGUGGUGUACUACAAAAGAUCAUAAAGCCUCUGAAUGUCCAACAUAUUCAUUUAAGAAAACAUCAUUGCAAGACGAGGAACAUAAGUAUGACAGAGCAUAUUGAGGAGUGUCUGUCUACUACUAUUGUAACACCUCAAAACCUGGCCCAAAAGUUUUGGUCGAAUUCCGGAAGUCACAUUGAUCACCGAAGUGAUCGUAGGAAAAAUAAAAAAAUUUAACAAUUGGAAAACAUUACAGUAUUUAAGUUGCAUAAAAACGCUCAGUUAUAAAAUCCUGAUAUUACAAAAUUUGCAAUCCAAAGAAAACCAUUUACGAAAAGCCCAAUUUAAAAUUGUACCACAGUUCUUAUAACUAUUUACAUUUCAAAACCAUUUACCAAAAUAACAAUCGAAAAGAACACUUUUAAACAUGUUUCCUUAUCGAGACUGUCCGAGGCCUCCGUGUGAGUUCCUGAAAGGGGAAACACUAUGGGGGUGAGCUACACGAGCUCAGUGUGAGUUUGAGACGUGACUAAUAACAGAAUUAUAGGAAAUAGUUCGAUAGCGAAACAUACUUACAGAGAUACACGAAAUCAGAAAGUAAACUCGGAACCAACGUCCUAACAGAACGUAACAAUUCAAGCACACCUUGUCACACAUAGACACUCAGUCAAAAAUGUCAAUCAGUCAAAUAGGAUAUAGACAAAUAAUCUACACCCAGUCACUUAAAUAGAUGCAUAUGAAUGCAAUCAAGUAAUAAAAGAAAACCCACCCGUCCAGCCAAAACACCUCUCCGUCUCCCGAUCACACCCUAAAAGAGCUGUUUAAGCUCAUCCAAUCAAACACACCACAUCGGACCUCAAAAGACCCAUCUAAUCCUACACAUCAUAUAUAUGGAUUGAGCCACUUAGAUAAUAAUACACAACAAGGCUGGCGUAUAUGCAAUACAGUGCAUUGCCGUAAACCACUGUACAGACAUGUUGCAGUUAAACUGCCAUAUCAGAAUCAGUCUUCCUUCUCUUCAUAACAAACCCAAAACUUACUUUAUGCAAAUGUAUGUAUGCUUACAACCUCACAGAAACAGCGAACACAUCAACAGAUAGUCAGAUAGAAACAAAUAUGCAAAUACCCAGCUAACUGGGUUCAAAUUCAAAUAUCUUACACAGCAAUCACAAAUGACACAUAAGUUAGAGCCCAGAUCAGAGUCUUAACUACCCUCACUAAAGCCUAGCCAAGGGUCAGAACACACAGACACAAUUUUAGAUAAAAGAACAUACACGAAACUAAAAUUGGUGACUUAGGGCCACACGGUCCUGUGGCUAAGGCACACGCCCGUGUGAGCUAGGGACAUGGCCGUCUGAAUAGACUGUGUAACUCUCUGUCCAAUUGUGCUAAAAUAUGGUUCAGGGCAGACACGAUCGUGUGUCCUACAAACACCCGUGUGGGAUCCCUAAAUCCCCAAAUUAGCCACAUGACCGUGUGGCACCAAAUCACCCAAACCCUAAUUCCUAAACACAGACGCCCAUAUGCCCAAGGGACACGACCGUGUGAAAAUUGACUAAUUUUCCCAAAUUAGCCACACGAUCGUGUGACACUUAACCCUACCCGAAAACCCUAAUUCUUAAUUCCACGUGGUUGUGUGAACAAGCACACGCUCAUGUGGCCACCCAUGUGGUCUCAGAACCACCUUGAAACAUCCUGCAAGCCGUGAAUUUACAAACCAAAUGCCCCCUAAACUCUAACAAUUCAGAAACAUGCCAUAGAAAACCAAGUUUCAUGCAACUUAGAAGCAAAACCUUCCACACAUUCACCAAACCACUUAGAAUAUAUCAAAUUCCACAUAAUCGAAAUAACAAAUCUUAUAUGGAGUUGGAGAGUUUCAACCCACACCUGAUUUGAAAUCCAAAAAGUCCAGACGCCGACUCGAUGACAAAAAGACUGAAGCUCUCUAAGAACCAUAAAAAAACCGUUUUCCAAAAGAAGAAAAGAAAGAAAGAAAAAAAAGAAAGAGGGACAAAGGAGAGGGAGAGGAGAACGUGAGAAAAAAGAAAGCAAUAAAUAAAAAUAAUAAUAAAAUAAUUAUUUUUAAACAUAAAACAAAUCUACUAUUUAACAAAAUAAAAAUAUUUCUUCAAAACACACAUAUAAGGAUUUGAACAUGCAACCUAGAGAUACACUAACACCAAACUAACCACAGACUUGCAGGCCCAUUCUGACAUCAAAAUGCGCAACUAAAUUCAAUAGCUCAUCCUACUCACUGACGCUAACCACAAAGCUAAAAACUUCUAACCCCAAAAUCCAGGGUGUUACAACUCACCCUUCCUUAAAGAAACUUCGUCCCAGAAAUUUCCAACUAACAGAACAGUGGUCUAACACAAGCUAUACGACUACGCUCUCGUUGCACACUCUAAAUUCGACCAGUACUAUACCAAACUUAUGACUUCAAACACAUACCUAGAACACUUCACCACUGAAACAGGUACACAUAUUAACAUCACACACACUCAAUCAUUAAACAAUGAAUAGUCGAACAAAUCAUCCUCAACAAAAACACACCAUGUCAACGUAACCUACACCCAUACCUAUCUUAAUGACGUUGAGGACACUCUCGGAUUCGAUGUUCUGUAGACCCACAUCGAAAAUAUGCUACCGCCUUUUUCCAAUAAUUUCCCAGAUGAUGCUUCUUACAAUGCUCACAAAACGAAGCGCUCGCACCACUACCAACACCCUCCGUAAAACCUUUAUUAUCACUCAAAUGUGUUCUCACACGCUUCACAGACCGAGGCUCCAACCUCGGAGGACUACGAUCUCUUUUCCUCCUACAAUCAACACACCUACUUUGCACUAACUCUUCAAGCCUCUCUAACCUAGCCUUAAACACUUAUUCUAUCACUUCUCUCACUACCUGAGUCAAUGCCUCAACACUGACCUCCAGGUUAUCGCUACCCAAAGUUGGUGGAGUCGCAUUGGCUUCCGAUUCCUGAAUAGUUACACGUCCCGUAAAAGUUAACGACUCCUCGAGAGUCUCGCCAGACUGAUCCUCGCUAUCUCCCUUACCUUCAGAAUCCAUACCGAUCUUCAACUAACUUAAAGUAAUCUACAUUUCACAAACAGUCACAACAUAAAUAUCUAUUGGGACAGUUCUAAUCUUAUAGUUGUGAAUUUCCACCCGGACCAGCAUUAGAGUCUCAGAAAUUUUAUUUUCACAAAAUCUUAUUCCAAAUACAAGUCAUUUCAAAACAUUGUGGUAUGGUUUUCUGAAUUUUUUUUAAAACGAACAAGCAUGCACUUGGUUAUGUAAAACACAGGCCAAGUUUUUGCAAACCUGGUUUUGAUACAACAAAAUGUAACAGCCCAAAACCCGACCUAGAAGUUUUCGCCGAAUUCCAAAAGUCACAUUGAUCACCAAAGUGAUUGUAGGAAAAAUUAAAAAUUUAACAACUGGAAAAUAUUAUAGUAUUUAAGUUGUGUAAAAACUCUCAGUUAUAAAAUCCCGAUAUUACAAAAUUUUCAAUCCAAAGAAAACCAUUUAAGAAUAGCCCAAUCUAAAAUUGUACCAUAGUUCUUAUAACCGUUUACAUUUCAAAACCAUUUACCAAAACAACAAUCGAAAAGAAGACCCUUAAACAUGUUUCCUUAUCGAGACUGUUCGAGCCCUCCGUGUACCAGGUCCAAGCUUCAGAAAGUGCGAGUAAGUAACUAAAAGGGGAAACACUAUAGGGGUGAGCUACACGAGCUCAUUGUAAGUUCGAGACGUGACUAAUAAAAAAAUUACAGGAAACAGUUCAAUAGUGAAACAUACUUACAGAGAUACACGAAAUCAAAAAGUAAACUCGGAACCAACGUACUAACAAGAUGUAACAAUUCAAGCACACCAUGUCACACAUAGAAAAUCAGUCACAAAUGUCAAUCAGUCAGAUAGAAUACAGACAAAUAAUCUACACCCAGUCACUUAAACAAAUGCUUAUGAAUGCAAUCAAGUAAUAAAAGAAAACUCACCGGUCUAACCAAAACACCUCUCCGUCCCCUGAUCACACCCCAAAAGAGUUGUUUAAGCUCAUCUAACCAAACACACCACAUAGGACCUCGAAAGUCCCAUCCAACCCUAAACACUAUGUAUGUGGACUAAGCCACUCAGAUAAUAAUACCCAGCAAGGCUGGUGUAUAUGCAGUACAGUGCAUUGCGAUAAACCGCUGUACUGAAAUCUUACAGUUAAACUACCAGAUCAGAAUUAGUCUUUCUUCUCUUCACAGCCAACCCAAAACUUACUUUAUACAAGUGCAUGUAUGCUUACAACCUUACAGAAACAGUGAACACAUCGAUAGACAGUCAGACAGAAACAGACAUGCAGAUACCUAACUAACCGGGUUCAAAUUCAAAUAUUUCGCACAAAACUCACAAAUAACACAUAAGCUGAAGCCCAGAUCAGAGUCUUAACUACUCUCACUAAAGCCUAGCCAAGGGUCAGAACACACAGACACAGUUUCAAAUAAAAAACAUACACGGAACUAAAAUUGAUAACUUAGGGCUAUACGACUAUACGGCUAAAGCACACGCCCCUAUGGGCAAGGGACAAAGCCAUGUGAACAGGCCGUGUAACUCUCUGUCCAAUUAUGCUACAAUAUGGUUCAGGGCGGACACAGUCGUGUAUCCUAACACACGCCCGUGUGGGAUCCCUAAAUCCUCAAAUUAGCCACACAGUUGUGUGGUACCAAAUCAUCCAAAACCUAAUUCCCAAGCACACAUGCCCGUGUGCCCAUGGGACACGGUCGUAUGAAAAUCGACUAAUUUCCCCAAAUCAGCCACAUGAUCGUGUGGCACCUAACCCUACCCGAAAACUCUAAUUCCUAAUUCCACGCUACCGUGUGAACAGGCACGCAGUCGUGUGAAUAGGCACACACUCGUGUGGCCACCCAUGUGGUCCCGAAACCACCUCGAAGCAUCCUGCAAACCGUGAAUUUGCAACAAAAGGCCCCCUAAACUGUAACAGUUCAAAAACAUGCCAUAGAAAACUAAGUUUCAGGCAACUUAGAAGUGAAACCUUCCACAUAUUCACCAAACCACUUAGAAUAUAUCAAAUUCCACAUAAUCGAAACAACAAAUCGCAUAUGGAGUUGGAGAGUUUGAACCCACACCUGAUUCGAAAUCAAAGACGUCUAGACACCAACUCGACGACAAAGAGACCGAAGCUGUCUGAAAACCACAAACAAAUUAUUUUCCAAAAGAAGAAAAAAAGAAAAAAAAGGAAUAGAGGAGAGAGAGAGGAGAACGUGAAAAGAAAGAAAGCAGUAAAUAAAAAAAACAAAAUAAUUAUUUUUAAACUUAAAACAAAUCUACUAUUUAACAAAACAAAAAUAUUUCUCCAAAACGCACACGCAAGGAUUCGAACACGUGACCUAGAGAUACACUAACUCUAAACUAACCACUAAACUAACAGGCCCAUUCUGACAUCAAAACGUACAACUAAAUUCAAUUGCUCAACCUACUCACUGAACCUAACCAGAAAGCUCAAAACUUCUAACCCAAAAAUCUAGGGUGUUACAGCUAUCAUUGACGAUGAUGAUAUAAAUGAGUAAGAAACUUCCAGUGACACCGUUUGUAAAGGCAGUAAGUGUGAUUUUGUGCCUAUUUUUAAGUCUACAUCUAACAUGGCACCUUGUUUCAAAGUUGAUGUCGAAGAAGUUGAUAGUAAUAGUGUGAGUUAUAAUGAUAGUAAUAGUGUAAACUAUGAUGAUAGUGAUAGUGAACUUUGUGAACCGAAAAAGUUAAUAGUGAGAAUUGUUUCCUAGAGUGUGCGAAUUUGGAUGGGUUAGACAUCUAUUCUCCUCCUACAGAGUUAUAUUCUAAUGAAUUCAAUAUUCAAAAUUUUUAUGAGGGGUUAAAGGGAAAUGGAGAUGAUUCAUGGAAAAUUACUGAAAGAAAAGAAACCUUAAGUGAUAAAAGUCAAUUUGAUGGUCCAACUUUGGUGAGUGAAAAUUUCUAUGAGGUAAAAUUAGAGAGUUCAAUUCAUAUUCAAAAAGAGAAUAGAAAGUAAGAGAGAACCUAUCUGAAAGAGAGGAAUGAUUAUGUUUUCUCUAACCUUAACUUGAAUUUAUCUAGUGGACUUGUUUCAUUCUUUUAGGAAUUUGUUGCUCCUUUGAGAGGAACUCUAUUAAAACAACCUGAAUACGAUCCUGCUCUGCUUCCUCCCCUCAAUUCUCUAUUAGAAGAAUUUUGGGAUUAUCAAUAAAGAAGAUUAGAGUAGUGAUACAUAUAUUAAUCAGGUGAAUUUUUUUAAAUUAAAUUCAUUAACGAGAUAAAUUUUCAGGUUUUAAAAUUCAGCUGACUUUGACGUAUUUUUAGAUGAGAUCCUAGUAUUUCUAAGUUGAAAUGUAUUUUGACUGAUGAUAGAUCUGUCUUUUACCUUCGAAAAACAUUUUGAAUAACCUCUUUUUGAGUUCGGGACCUCAAGUUAUGGUCGUUUAAGUGAAAGAAUAUGCGAGCAGAAACUUUUGGAUUGGGUUAUUAUGAGAAUUACAAGUUUUGGACAUUGAUUCAUGUUUAAAUCAUAUUGGGUUCGAUUUUAAAGUUUAAUUUUGAUGAUAUAUAAGCCCAAUAAUGUAUUUAGGAACUUUUAUAUUUUUUACAUUUAUUUAUUUCAAAUUUUACGAUAUUUUUAAGUGUUUUAAUUUCUUUAGAAUUUUUUAUGUUUCUUAGUUAGUAAGAAAGUUUAGUUCAACUAGAAUUACUUAUUAUUUAGACAAUUUAUAAGUUUAAUUAAAUUGAUAAUUUGUUUUUCAUUCAAUUUAUAGCCUAUAUAAAGGCACCUUCGUUAUUUAUUAUGUUAGACAUUUUUUGAUUAUUUGAUUAAUAAAACACUCUUUGGAGUUUAUUUAUUUUGCAAGAUUCAAUUAUUAUUUGUAUCUCAUGAGAUUCUUUGUACUCUUUUUACUUAAUUUUGAAUUUUUGGGAGAAAUUAUUUAAACUUCGAUUACCAAAAAUUCGUUCUUCGAUGGUCGAUUAGAGUUGUAUAAUUGAGUUUGUCAGAAAAUCUUUUUUGGAAGGUUCAAUUAGACACUUAUACUUAUAUUCCACACUUCCAUCAAUUUCUUCAUUCCAUCUCACAUCUUUUUCAUUUAUUUUAUUUUGAUGCCAAUUUCAAUUAUAAUAUUUAUUAAUUGGUUUCUUGUUGUCCAAACUGUAAGAAUCAAUUUAGAGUCUCUCGAGUCAAAAUGAAUAUUCUAAAACUUUGAAAUACCUUCGAAUUCUUUUAGAAUUUUGUGGACGUUACCCUCUAUCAAGUGAGUCUUUGUUUUUCAAGAAUUUAGUGCUUCAUUUUAAUUAAAUACAAAUAUUAUUGUUGAAAAAUGGUUAAUGGUGUUGACUUUAUUUAAUUCAUAGACUCUAGCUUCAAUGACAACUAUCAAUUAAGCUACAAAGGAAACUACAAUUUUGAUUAUAUUGGAGAAUUUUAUCUCUCUUGUAAUGAGUAAUGGGUCGUUGUGUUAUGUUUGAAUGAUAGAUUUUUUUUAAAAAUAAAAAUUUCAUUUGCUGAUAAUCAUUAGAAUUGUCAUUGUAGGAAAAGAGGAGGAGGUAUAAGGAUGAAUUUGCAAGAUAUGUUUGGGUUUUAGACCCAAUAUAUGGCCAAAAAAGUUUCAUGGUAUAUGUUUCUCUCUCUAUGUGUGAGCACAUGUAAUUGUUUGGUAUACAAAUGUAAACUUUUAACACCACAAGUAAGAUUGAUAUUUUGUUACCUGUCUUAUUUAGAGGUAAACUACACAAAUAAUAACGGGUGGGUGGUGGAGGUAAAGGGAGGACGGGACGAUGGUAGGGGAGGUCUCGUGGAGGAUUUUUUAUUUUAUUUAAGGUUAAUAUAAAAUCUAAAUUUAUUAUUAUAUUUUUUAAAUUAUUUAUGUAUUUUCAUAUAUUUCUUUGAAUUUUUUUAGAAUUAAGAUAAAAUUGAGAAUAUUUGUAAAUUUUGAGCGUUAAUUUUUUUAAAUAUGACUAAAUCAAUAUUAUAUGUAAAAGUUGAGGGCUAAAUUUGUUAUUAUACCAAUUUUUUAACUGUCAUGUCAACUAGUCGUUUGUGAUUUAACAGGAAUGAGCAAAAUGAUUGAACUAUAUAACAUGGUGCUUAAAUUGCAAAUUUUUAUUUUGAGUGCUUAAAAUGAAAUUUUUUUAUGGUUGGGUGACUAUUUAUGUAGUUUACCCCUUAUUUGAUUAUUUUUUAAUUUUUUUAAAUACAAUUUAAAGACACAUGACAAAAUUUCAACCAUGGUUGUGAAGUUAAAAAUUUCCACCACUUAUAUACCAAAUAAUUUUCCAUAUAUUGUCAAAAUAUUAAUUUAGUUUCAUUGUUGAAUUUGGCUUAAAUUGAGUUCAUGCUUCUCAAUUUUUAGGAAAAUUAGUAUUGGGUACUCUCAUUGUUUUAAUAAAUAAAGAUAAACCAAUAAGCUUCAUUUAUACCCUAUAGUUUAAAUUUUGAUUUGUAAGAAAUUUGAUAACUUCUCUUAAUCAUAAAGGAGUAGAAUUAGCUUGCUCGCUACAAAAUAGUGUUCUCAUUGGUAAUGGAAACCAUAUGAAUCAUAUGAACUAGUUAAAUGGUGUUCUCAUUGGCAAUGGUGUCAUCAUAACAAAACUAGUUUCGCAAUGUUCCCCUUUCAUCAAAGUUUAAUCAUAUGAAUUUGUAUCAUGUACAUUAGUGAAAUUCAGUUUUAACAGUUAACAUUAAUAUGUACUAUGUUAUCCUCUUUAUUUAGAUUUUGUGUUUUUUUCAUUUUUCUAUCACUUAAACAUAGUAUCCAAUUAUACCAGCUCAAUCGAUUCUUAAUUUUGCUUUUGGUUUAUGUUCAUUUCUUAAAAAAAGGUUAGAUGUUGCCUCAUGACUAAGUAAGAAGGGUUGACGUGUUUGGCCCCGUUGGAUGCUCUUCUCCAUUUUGGUUACAAAUUCUUUACUUUAAAAGUAAAAAACACAAAAGUAAAAUGACCAAAAUAGUUGCUUAUUAAGCAAUAUAUAAUUUAUUCUCCUUUGAGAAUGACAAUUUCUUCUCUCAAAAAAUCAUUCAAUUGACACAUCACUUCCAUUUUCCUCAACAUAUGCCUAAAAGCAUCCUCUAGACUAUUAAAAGGAACAUCAUUGCCCAUUGUUUGAAUUUGAUGCUUUAAUCAUUGAAAGCGAAUGUGGGAUAGAACGACAUUUCUUCUUCAACUUUAUUAUUGCAAAUCGUAGCUCAGGAUCUCUUUUAAGUGCAUCUGAAGUCUACUCUAAUACUAAUUGAAAAAGUAGCAAUCAGUUUGCUCCUUGUCCCAAAUUGAUGUCCUAGUUGAUGUUCAGAUAAAAGUUGGAACUGUCUUAAUUCAGUGUCACAACUAAUGUUCGAACACAAGUUCCAACAAAAUUGUGUAACAAAGGCAGUAGACACAUGAAAGAAGGAGAGGAGUAAACACACAAACUUUGUUAACACAGUUCAGAAAACAAUCCUACUCUGUGGAGCUUCGCUUUGUGAAUGAUUUUAUUCAAUAGUCAUCCAGAUCAUUGACCUGUUGCCAAAUGAGGUGGUAGUUUUAGUACAUUCCAGCACUUAGGAGGCUUGUUUUCUAGUCAUCUUAUAAUUAGUUAUCGCAUUUUCAGUUUUCAUAGUUUAGGUUUAAUUAUUUGCAAAAUAAGUGUCUUUACGCAAUACUUUAUGUUAGUUGACAUAUUAGGCUAAUUCAGCCCUUAGGUAGUUUUAAUAUGUUUAAUUGAGUGUGUAAGAUGAGUAUUGAGCAGUCUAAUAGCCUUAGGGACGACACUCGAGUGCAGCACAAUGAGAAGCUGAAACUUCUAGCUUGGGAAAUUGAUGUCAUGUCGUGACACACCUUGGCUGUGUUGCGACACAGGGCUGAAUGUGGGGCACAGGCUAAACGUGUGACACAAGUAUCAUAAAGGCUAAAAUCGUUCGCGCAAUCAAUUAUUUCUGGGAUUAGGGCUUGUAAUAGUCCUAAUUAGGGUUUCUAAAAAUUUGUAUAAAUAGAAAGGUUAUGGCCAACAUGUGGGCAAGCCUUUAAGAGCCGUAAUAGAUUUAGAUUUAAGUAUUUUCUUUUUCGUUUCAAGAUACUCUUGUUCUUUUCGACUAGAUUCAGUUUUGAAACUAAGUCAUUUUAAUUAAAGUAUUCAUCAGUCUCUUUUAUUGUUCGUUCACAAACAUCGAAGAUCAAUUAAUGACUACAAGAUUAUGCCACCCUAAUCCCAUUCGAUUCAAUCGAUUGAGCAAUUUCUUACCUUUCUCUUAUUGAAUUUAAUUGUGUUAUUUUGUAUGUUUAAAUUAAAUAUAAGAGUUAUGGCAUCUAGACUCAUGAGAGGCUAAGUCUCUACGAAGACUAACGAGUGGAUGUGAGAGUAGUUAACAGAAGAAUAUGAGUUCCCUGAAGGAACCUACUAGUUUUAAAUCAUGUAUGCUUAAACCCUAAGAUUGACAAGUAAAUCGUGAUUUAUCUUGGAGGGGAAAGUGAGGUCGGGAGAUAAGCAAGUACCUGUUGGUUAGUUAAUUAGUAGAGGCUAGGAGGUAAUACUAGUUGAUUAAUAGUUAAUUCCAUUAAAACCCAAAUUCUGAUGUCAACUACAACUACUGAAACGAGUUAAUCUCCUGCCUGCUAAUCUGAUUAAGUUGUUUGUUUGUUUUCUAUUAUUUAAUUUAGUUGAAUUUAUUUUAUGAUUUUUAUCUCUUUUAUUGGUUGUCAUAAUAUAGAUUUUAAUUAUUACUAUUUAAACUUAUUAUUGUAGAAACAUAUUUAGGAUUUAAUUUGUCCUCCCUUGGGUACGAUCCUCAGAAUACUUCCCUCUGUUCCGUUGCAACACUUAUUAUAUUACAGUUUGACCCAUAUACUUGCGGACACCACUGUCUUAUUUUAAUAUCUUUUGCGGUAAUAUUUUCUAUCCAAAUGUUCACACGUUUGGCGGCUGUCAAUCACCUAUUGGCUUAAGCCUAGUCUACCAUUACACAUUGGAUAAUUGCAACCCCAACAAUGAACCCAAUUGUUUACAAAUCACUCAUCCAAAACAACUUCACUUACAAUAAGGUUUACUCUCUAAUAAAAUGCCUAACACAAGAGUGCAACAAUACCAAGUAAAAGAUACAAAAAUAAUCAAUCAAAAUCUCUCUUAAGUACACUAACAUGUGGCAACCAAUAGCCUUUUAUAGGCUAACACAAGAGCUUUUAAAUAGCAUUUUGAUAAGUUUAAAACUCUUAGUGAAAGCUAAAUUUAUCUCUUGAAAUAUAUUUAAUAGUUAUCCCAUAACUUCAUAUCCAAGUAAAACAACUGACUUGGUCUUUAAGUAAAAGGAUAAGGAUAAGGUAUGAGAUAAUGAAAAUUGAUCAUUCAUCCUCUUCCUCUCCCAAAUUCAAUCAACAUAAUUAAUGAUAGAAUAAAACAUGGUCUAAGGAUCAUUUGUUCAUAGCUCAACACACAAUGAAGAUCAAAGUAAAAAAAUGCAAACUUUCUAUUGCACUUAACUAUCUUCAAAGCCUGUCUAGAUUAUUGUCCAAAGGUCUAUCCUAACAAUUGUUCAAACAAGGGACAAACAUGGUCACUAAACAUGCAAUUCAAGGAGUUGUUCAAACAUGGGGAGAAACUUCAGAUACUAAACAACUAAAUUCCCAAUACUCACUCUUAAUUUUCCCAUGAACUCAACAACCAUCCAUCAACUUGUAAAAUAACCAUAAUCAAAACUUGAAUAACCCUAAAACCAUAUUACCUUAAUAAAAAAAUUAGGAACCUUAAUCAUAAAUUAACAACUCUAAUCACUUACCAUAUUGCUAAAAACAAAUCCACAACCCUAAACCCAAUGUUACACUAUACAAGCAACAAUAGCUAAAACUAGCAAAAUCGCUCCCUCCUUUCCCUCUCAAAAACCUUAAAUUUUCCUUAAAAGUACAACAAGAAAAACUCUAGCUUAAGCUUAAGCUAAAAUUGAUUAAUCGUACCAAAUAACGAAAUGUCAUGAAUUACAAAAUCGUUUCCCAAUUUUUUUACACUAAACAAACCUCCCACUAAGAUUAUUAUUUAACCAUGUAUUCUUAACCGAGUUGCAAUCCCACAAUAAAUACUGGAAUACUGUUGGAAACCUCUAUUUUCAAUUUCCUUCUUUCUGUUGGAAGGAGGUGGAAGAGAAAUAGCCUUUAGGAAAUAAUGAACUCACGUUGUAUCGAACUUUGUCUUUUUUCACUCUCUCUUACCAUGCUUCAUCUUAAACAACUAUUUAUAUAGUAGGUGUAAGUGAAUAUUGGUUUCAACAUAUUCAUGUGUCCUAGUUAAGUACAUGCAUGACUACUAGAUACAUCUACUCUAAAUACAUUCAUUAAACUAGAUACGUCUACUCUAAAUACAAGUACAUGUAAGUAAUGAGCAAGUACAUUCUAGAAUGUUACAAAUUAUAAUAUCCAACACUUCUCCUUAAUUUGAAAUUUUCUUAAUGACACCAAGUUUUCUAUGCAUUCUUUGAAAACCUUCAACCUUGAGAGGUUUUGUAAAAAUAUCUGCCACUUGAUCUUGAGUCUUCACAAACUUAAGCUCCACUUAUUUCUUGGCAAUAUGCUCCAUGAUAAAAUGAUUUCUUGUGUCUAUAUGUUUGCUUCGAUCAUGGAACACAUGAUUUUUCGAGAACGCUUGUGCAGACUUGUUAUCAAUGCAAAUUUUGCUUGCUCAUUCUUGUGGCAACUAAAGUUCAUUCAACAAUCCUCUAAGCUAAAUAGCAUGACAAGUACAAGAAAUUGUUGCCACAUAUUUAGCCUCACAAGUUGAACGUGUCAUAAUAUGUUGUUUCUUAGAACUUCAAGAGAUGCAACAAUCUCCCAAGAAAAACACAAAUCUGAUGGUGUUUUUUCUAUCAUCAAUGUCAUCGGAAAAAUCACUAUUACAAAAUCCCAUGAGUUGAAAGUCAUGAGAAGAUGAGUAGAAUAACCCUAAUUCAAUCAUACUUUUUAGGUAGUGAAGAAUCCUUUUAGUAGCCUUCAUGUGAGCUGACGUAGGAGCUUCCGCGUAGCGACUCACUACACCAACUACAAAUAGGACAUCAGGCCUUGUACAUGUCAAGUAUCUCAAACUUCCCACAAGACUUUUGAAAAGAGUUGGAUCUUCUUUCAUUCCAUCAUCAAACUUUGACAACUUCACUCCACAUUCUAUUGGAGUUUCAAAAAGAUUGCAAUCAAGCAUUUUGAAUUUCUUCAACACUUUUUUUACAUAACCUACUUGUGAGAUGAAUAUGUCGCCAUCUAUUUGUUUCACUUCUAGUCCCAAAUAAUAAGACAUGAGCCCCACAUCAAUCAUCUCGAAAUCAAGUGACAUAUGCUUAUUCAAUUCUUUAAUUAAAUUCAAUUUUUUUCUAUAAAGAUCAAAUCAUCCACAUAAAUACAAACUAUCAAGAUAUCUCUACGAUCAUUUAUCUUAACAUAGAGUGUUUGUUCAUAAAGACACUGAACAAAUCCAUUGUCUCGAAAAUACUUGUCGAUGUGGCUAUAUCAUGCACUGGGUGCUUAUUUUAACCCAAAUAGUGCAUUUUUCAACCUUAGGCAUUUUAUCUUCUCGUCCUUGGAUAUUGUAUCCCAUGGGUUGCUCAAUGUAAACUUCCUCUUCCAAGAAAUUGUUAAGAAAUGUCGAUUUCACAUCAAAUUGAUUUAUUUUCCAUUUCAUUUGAGCGGCCAAGGAAAUAAGAAAAUGAAUUGUUUCAAUUUGGGCAAUAGGUACAAACACUUCAUCAUAAUCAAUCCCAUGCUUUUUCUUGUAGCCUUUAACAACAUGCCUUACUUUGUACCAAACCAUUUCUCCACUUGCAUUUUUCUUUUUCUUGAAAACCCAUUUGACCUCAAUAGUUUCAUGGCCUUUUGGAAGUUCAGAUAACUCCCAAGUGUUGUUUUUCUCAACGAAUUCAUGGAUUGGAGUAGAUGAAGAUGGAGGAGUCACGUCUUGCACCAGUGCCACAAUUGUUGGAAAAAUAGGUUUAGAAAACGCAGCGGAAAAUAAGUUUAAAGCAAAAACCAGAGUUUUAAUUUUUUUUCCAAAAACAAAAAUUUUGUUGUGAUGUCUAAAGUAAUAAACACUUAAUCAAAAUUGCACCUUUUCAAUUUGUCUAGGAUGAACACUUCGACCGAGUAGCCUUCUCCAUUAUCCUCAAGCUCACGUUUUUCGAGUGUGAGCUCACAUCGAAUCAGAAAAAUUUUCACAAAAUUACCAGUGCGAUAAUUUCACAAUUUCUCUAAACUUAUAAGUCCAGUUUUAAAUAAGAAAAAUACCUCUGGAAAUCUUCUGAAUUAAUUUCUUCAUAGAAUUUUCUCUCUACAACUUUCUCUUGAAUUCAAGUGUGUGAAAAAUAAUGACUCAUGACUCUCUUUAUAUAAAGAGAUUUUAGAGAGUUCAACUAUAAUUAAACUUAAUCAUUUUAAUAUUAAAUUAAUAUAAUACUUAUCAAGAUAAAUAUUAGAUUAAAUUUAAUAUUAAAUCUAUUAAAUUAAUAAAAUAUUAUCAAGAUAAGUAUUUAAUUUAAUUUAAUAUUAAAUCUAUUAAAAUAAUAUUAUUUUUGGAAUAGUUUAUCUAAGAUCAAAUUAUCCAGUAGAGUCCUGAUAGGAGUGUGAUUCCUCCACUUCUCAUCCAUCGGAGGACCAUCCGUCGACCAUCAGAAUGUUUUUGUCGCCGUCGCCGUCUUCGGCACCGUUGUGUUAGGUGGUGCCAUCAUAGGUGCGACACCCUCACGGCACAACAAGCUGGUUUGGUCCAAGCCUAGUGACGAGCCAACCGGUCUGGUCCAGCCACCGAUUGGAUCGUCGGCCUGGUUUCUCAUACUAGGUCUGGUUCGACUAGUUUUUGGGUCUUGGUCUCGAUUUUGAAUUCUCGAGCCUAAUUUUUGAUUGCAGGCCCAAUUUUCAAGUUCAAUUACUCAUGACCCAAUUGUUUGACUUGAAAAUUAAUUUCCACAAAUAUCAUAUCAAUUUUAAUUAAUUUGAUUAAUUUAAUUUUACUUGAUUAAACUUAAUUUUCUCAAAAAUCACUAAGAUUUUCCAAAUUAAUUUUUUAAGAAAAUUUUUUAAUCAAAUUUUCUAGUUGAAAAAUUCUCAUGACUGCCUAAUUUAAUUCAACAUCGAAUAAAUCAACUCAAUUAAAUUAUUUCUAAAGUCGUAGAAUUUUCUUCUGAUUCAAAUACAGUCCAAUCAAGCUUUUGUUGAGCUAGCGGAGGGACCAAUCAGACAUAUACAAUUAUCCUUGAGUAAUUGCAAUUAUUUCCAGAAGCAUUGUUCCUAUAAUUCACGAUUUACUUAAUCAUGAAGUCAGUCCACAAGAAGUACCAUGAAUAAAAACUCCUUAUUGUAUACUCUUUACGAAAGUAAUUCAUCCAACUGCUUUGUCCAGUGACCUCCUCAUGUGUGUUACCCUCAUAUGAUAUCCUUGAUUCCUUUGAGUUAAAUCUGCUCCACUUAUAUCAAAGCAUAUGAGUUACAUACGCAUGGUCAGUGACUAACUCAGGAUUUAGGUAAAUCAAACCAUGAACGUCACAAGUGAAUUAAUUCACAAACGAAUUCAAAAUUAAGUCGUCUUGGGUUCAGUUAAAUGCAUCAUUAUUCCAAUCAAUACACUUAUGUCUCUACCCAUGGGGUCAACUGCUCUGAUUGUCAAGACUAGUCAUAUCCCCAAUUAGAAUUAUAGAUGACAUAAUCCCUCAAGUAUUUGAAUCACUCACUUUGAUUUUUUUUCUAGGUUUAUGGACUCGUUUAGAUUAUCUACUGAAUUAAGUUAUCUUUAUCACAAUGUAAAUGUUCCUAUAAUGCCACUUAUCAUCAAUUUGAACUUCGAAAAUCAAUGGCUAAUAUUUUCUUGUCACAAUUUUUCUAUGCAUGUAAAACAUGAGAGACAAAAACACAAAAGAUAAAACAGUGAAAUGUGAAAUUUAUUUAUUCAUUAUUCAAAUACAUAGAAAAUAAUUACAUGUUUACUACGAUAUGGGUGCAUUUCUCAACAAUAGUGUAUUUUUCUUCCUCAAAAUAAGGAAAGAAAUCAUAAGAUUUGAAAUAACUCGUUUUUCAGUGUUUUCAGAAAUAAUGGUUUCGGGGCUACAGAUCUAAUAAGUAAGUCCAUAAAUAUUAUAUUUACAAGUCAAAUAUUGAAUUAUAUUUGAUUUUGAUAUGGUAAUUUAUGUAAUGUGAAUGAAUAAUUUAGUUUAAGUGGUGUCCCUAAAGUCAAGUGGGUUUAGAAAAUGAGGUAUUGGGACCUCGUUUCUAUAAACCGAGCUCAUAAAUAUUUAAUAAAAUAUUUACGGAGUGUUAUUAAGGUUUUAUUAAAAUUUAGUUAAGAAAUUUUAAGGUUCAGAUAGUUAAUAAAUUAAAAAGGAUUAAAUUGCAAAGGUUGCAAAAGUAGGUUUCUAUUGAUUAAAUGGAUUAAAUGGCUAUGGAAAGGUAAACUAAAGGACCUAGAUGGUAAUUAUACUAUAUAUAUAUAUAAGUGGUAGACAAAUAUGGACAUAUUCUAGUUACUUUAUAAAUUAUAACUUAAGGUUAAAUAAGUAAUUAAAUAAAUAAAAGUUUAAUUUAAUAAGCCAAAAUAGCAUCAUCUUCUCCAAAUUGCUAAUUUUUCAAACUGAAACUCUUCUUAAGAAGAUGAAGCUUUCGGCCAUGGAGUUUUAUAUGCAUGGUAUGUUGUUGAGUCCCAUUUUUAAUGAUUUUUAUAUUUUUAAGCUCAUAUUAACUUAAUUUAGUUAGCCCGAGGGUCAAUUUGUAAAGUUAUUAAAUUUUUAUUAUUAUGUAAUUGAUGUUUUAUGAAUUUUGAUGAUUGAUUAUUAAAUUUGAUUCUUAAAUAAACAAGUUUUGUUAAAUAAUUUUUAGUGAUUUUAAUGUUUAGGGAUUUAUUUGUAAAAGUGGUAAAAUUCAAGGAAAAAAUUGUAAAUUGUUGAUAAAUAUGGUAUGUUAUAAGAUUGGGUAAAAAUAGGCUAGCACGAAUUAUGGUUAAAAAUGGUGAAAUUUCAAGUUUUGGGUUUAGGAACUAAAUAGCAUAAAAGUUAAAAUAUUAGAGAUAAUUUUGUAAUUUUGCAAUAGUAUGGAUUAAAAGCUUGAAUUAAACAUUUUAAGUUAAUUGAAUGGUUUAAUUGAUUGGAAAAUUAUUAUUAGAUCAAGAAACGCUACAAUUGAAGUUAAAUUGAGGAAAAGCUCAAGUUUAGGAUUAGUUGUCAACUCCGUUUUAACAACAUUCUAGUUGACGUAAGUUCGUGUUACAUAUAAUAAGUUAUAUUAAAUUCUUUAUAUUUAUUUUAUUCUAUUAAUCGUGAUUAUUAUAAUUAUUGAAUGUUGGUUGUUGAAAAUUAAUAAUGAAAUGAAUUGUAUUAAAGAUAAUAUCGAACUUUGAGGCCAGCAGGCUUUGUGCUCGUGAUUUAUAUCAGGCUUUGUGCAUAGCAGGCUCUAUAUCGAUGUGUUGUAUCAGGUAGCAGGCUUUGUGUUGGUGAUUUAUAUUAGACUUUGUUCCUAGCAGGCUUUGUGUCGGUGUAACUGUAUCAGGCCUCGAACUUAACAGGCUUUAUUUUGAUGUGAUAUAUUAGGUAACUAGUACAGUAAAUAUUAUUUCAAUUAUCCGAUGUUGUUCUAUUUGGUUCAAAGGGCAAUGUAUUGGUUAAAAACGAAAGGUAUGUAAAUGAAAUUGUAACAACUCAUUUUUCAAUGGUGAUGAAAUAAUGGUUUCAGGACCACAAAUUCCCAUCAUGUCGACUCAUAAAUAUUAUAUAUAGAAUAUUUACGGAGUUAUUAAACUCUUAUUAAAAUUUGGUUAAGAAAUUUUAACAUUUAGAUAUUUAAUUAAGUAAAAAGGACUAAAUCAUAAAAAGAGUAAAAGUUGAGUUCUGUUAGUUAAAGGGAUUUAAUAGCUUUGAAAUCUUAAAUUAAGGGACUUGAAUGGUAAAUAAACCAUUUAAAAAAUUAGUGGAUGUGCAUGGGCAUGGUUUUAUUGUAAUUAUUGAUUAAUAAUAAGGGUAAAGUGGUAAAUUAACACUUAAAAAUAAAAUUAAGUAAGAAAAGAUGAAAACAAAGUGAUCAUCUUCAUGCUUUUGUCUUUGGAGAACUGAAAUUCACCAUUGAAGAGGAGAUAAUCUUCGGUUUGAAUUCUUCUUGCAUGGUAUGUACAUUUGAUCCCGUUUUGAAUGAUUUUUAUGUUUUUGAGAUUGUUGCAACUAGGUCCAGCUAGCCCGUACCUUCAUUUUUGAAACUGUUAAAAAUUUUAAAAGUUGCCAUUGAUGAUUCUUGAAUGUUUUUUUUAUGACAACUAUGUGUUUGAAGCUUUCAUUGUGGUAUAUGGUUGUUUUGUAAAGUGAUUUUUGUUAGAUUUUGAUUUAAGGAUUAAAAUUUUAAAAUGUCAAAAUUUCAAGGUUUGAUGGUGAAUUUGAUGUGUAAUAGAGACUGUUAAAGGGCCUAGAAUAAUCGACUGUAGUUUGAUUCUUAAAAAAUAGUCAAUUUGAUGAUUUUCGGGUUAGAGGAUUAAAUUGUAAAAGUUGUAAAAGUUUACAAAAAAUAUGUAAUUAAUGAAAAUUUAAGGGUCAUAUGCAUUGAAUGAAAUGUGAAAUGUGUUUGGGAUUAAUAUAUUAUCUUUAAUUAUUAUAUAGAUCAUAACUUGGAUAAAAAAGACAAUAACCGAGGAAAAGGAAAAAUAGCAGAUUAAUCCCUACGUGUUGGUUGGAAUCAAAUAGUAGGUAAGUUCAUAGUAUUUCAAUAUGUAAAUGAAUUUGUACUUGUAUUCUUACAUUAUAGUUCUUUAAUUAAAUGUUUAUAGUUAACAAUUGAAUGAAUGCACAUAAGUGCGUCUGUUUGUACUCCGGUACCCCUGAAUGCACAUACGUGCUCCUAUUUGUACUUUGGUACCCUUGAAUGCAUAUAAGUUCCCCUGUUUCUACCUCAAUACCCCUUAAUGCACAUAAGUGCCGCUGUUUGUACUUCGGUACCCCUGAAAGCACAUCAGUGCCCCUAUUUGUACUUCGGUACCCCUAAAUGCCUUUAUGUGCCCUGUUUAUACUCUGGUAACUCUGAAUUAUAUAUUAUAGGAACUGUAUUUAAUUGUCUUUAGAUUAAAUGUUAUACUGUGUCCUUAUUAAGCUUUGUAAGCUUAUCGGUUCUUAUGGAUUGUUUUGUAGAUAAUCACUAAUAUUUUGGAGGGAUCAUUCAACUAGCUCACACUAUCCACCUAAGUUGGUGGUUUUUGUAUCUCCUAGGGUAGUGGCAUGUAUAAACUUAUAUAGAUGAAUUUUUGGUUGAAAUGUAUAGGGUGUUUAUAAUGGGUUUGAUGAAUAUGUAAAGGAUAAUUUGGUAUGUUUGUGUCUUGAUGUUUAAGUAUGAUUGACGGGCUUAUAAUCUUGUCAUGUAAGUCUUUUUGGUCACUGUUGGUAAUUAAUGUGUAUGUCCCUUUGGUAAGAUGAUGUUGGCUUUGAAAUGGUCAAUUUGUGGUAUGUUUUGUUAAGUGGUUGAAUUAAGUUAUGAUGCUUGAAAUAAAGAAUUGUUGAUUUGUUUUGGCAUGUUAUGUUUGGUUGUUAAUUGUGGUGCCUUUGAAUGGCAUAUUGGUUAGUUGAAUGAGGAUCUUGAAGUGGCAUUUUGAUGUGUGUUUGAGUGAUGUUUAGGCCCUUUUAAAGUGUGAUUAAAUGGGUUGAAAGGUUAUGCAUGAAUUGGUUUUGAGUUGGCUUGAUUUUAGGUAAAAUUUGGAUUCACACGGCCUGAGACACAAGCCUGUGAUUCAACCAUGUGAGCCACACAGCUUGGCAAUACGGUCGUGUGUCAUCUGAUAGUUUCUUAGUGUAAAAUUCAGUGAGUUACAUGGCCUGGAACACGGGCGUGUAUCGUUACUCAGAGAGUUACAGGACCUGGCAUAUGAGCAUGUGACACAACCGUGUAACCUUACUCAGAGAGUUACACAGGUGAGGUCAUGGGUUGAGACACGGCUGUGUGUCCCUAUUUCGAAAGUCACACAGCCUAGGGCCAUGUCACACGUCGUGUGACCCCUGUUUUCAAAUUUUGUGAUUUUUUCGUAAUCUUUCCAAAUUAUUUCGAAGUAGUCUCAAAUUGCUCUUAAGCUAUUUUUAAGGCCUCAAGGGCCCGAUUUAGGAACGGUAUGCAUGUGAAUGAUUGGUUUAUGAUAGUAUUAACAUCUGGAUGAUAUGAGGUUUAAAUUUUUACUAUUGUAUGGUAAUGCUCUAUAACCCUAAACUGGCAACGGAGACUGGUUAGGAGUGUUAUAUUUAGUGGUAUUAGAGAUAUGGUUUAGUCGAUUCUAGGAAUAACGUAGCGAAAUAGAGUGUAGUAUAUACAUGCCACAUAUAUCUUGUGAUAAUGUGACGCUUUUGAUCUGCUCUAAUAUUGUAUUUUCUUAUAGAUUCAAGAUGUCAGCUAAGUCGAACCAGGCUGUAGUUAACGAAGCUGAAAGUAAUGUUCAAGCUUCAAACCCUGAAGUAAGUAAUUGUGCAUCGAUCCCACAGUUCCUAGGUGACGAAAUAAUAUUUUUUUGUUCGAAUGAUGAACCAGUGGUUCAAUGAAUUCAAGAAAGCAAAUAUUACAAAUCCGCCGCCUCCACCCCCAGCUGUGCCUCCACUGGCACCUCUGGGUCCUCAAAAUUCUGUACCUAUGAAAGUUGCUAGAGUAUCUGUAGAUAAAAUUUGGAAAUGUGGAGCGAAAGAAUUCAGAGGCAAGAUGGAUGAUGAUCUUGAAAAAGCCAAGUAUUGGUUAAUGAAUACAACGAGAGUCUUCGCGAAAUUGAUGUGCACUCCUGAAGAUUGUUUGAGAUGUGCUAUGUCGUUACUAAAAGAUGAAGCGUAUUUAUGGUGGGACACUUUGAGCACGUUGACAUCUAAUGAUCGUAUUAAUUAAGAUUUCUUUCAGACUGAAUUCAAGAAGAAGUAUGUUAGUCGGCUAUUUAUUGACAAGAAAAAGAAAGAAUUUCUUGAUUUAAAAUAAGAAAAUCGGACUGUAGCAGAGUAUGAACGAGAAUUUGUGCAGCUAAGCAAGUAUGCCUAUAAUAUAGUAUCAAAUGAGGAGAAAAUAUGUAUUAGACUUGAGGACGAGUUGAAUUAUGAUAUUCGUAUGUCAGUGGCAGCACUAAAGUUACAAAAAUUUGUAGAACUUUCAGAACGGGCUUAGAAAAUUGAAGAAAUUUGUAACAGUAAACGACAAUUAUAUUUGAAAUUUUGAGAUUUUAACAAAAGGGGUCGUUCAAGCCUACUCAAGCGUCUCCAUAAAAGAAAUUUAGAAAUGAAACAAGUCGACCAGCUGUUCCCUUAAAGUUCACUAGUAGAGAGAAAUAGAGGUAAAGCAAUUUCCUGUAUGUUAAUUCUCCAGCGGCUAGUGUUGGAAGUGUAAGAAAUGUUGAAAGAACCAUUCUUGUUUGUGAUGAUUGCAACAAAAGGAAUUUUGGUGAGUGUCGAUCAAAUUCGGGAGCUUGUUUCUGUUGUAGAUCUACUAACCAUUUCUUUUGUAAUUGCCCGAAAGGCAAAAUGAUUUUAGCAAUCAACCAAAUAAGCCUAAGCAACCUUACAGAGAGGUAGACGAUCUGGAAAAUCUAGAAACACUACUCCCGGUAGAGGGAAGAAUAGUAAGAUGAAUGAACGAUCUGAAGCAAGAACACCAACUAGAGCCUAUGCAAUCAAAGCUCGAAAGGAAGCUACUACCCCCAGACGUUAUUACAGGUACUUUUUCUCUCUUUGAUAUUACUGUAUAUGCAUUAAAUGAUCCUGGAUCAAGUCAUCGAAUAUAUGCACAACAUUAGUAGACAAAAAGAAAUUACUUGUUGAGUUCACUAAAUAUACUGUCAAAGUUACGAAUCCACUAGGUCAGUGUGUUUUAGUUAAUCAAGUAUGUAAAUCGUGUCCACUAAAAGUUAGGGGUUACGAUUUUCCCACUAGUUUGAUGUUGUUACUUUUCGGUGAUUUUGAUAUCAUUCUGGGAAUGGAUUGGUUGUUUGAACAUGAUGCUAUAGUGAGUUACCGAAAGAAGAAAGAUAGCUUAAAGGGUCCAAAUGGUGAAUUUAUUUAUGUUAGGGCAGAUGGGGUCGAUUGUAUUACAAAUUUGUUUUAGCGCUGUCAGCUUUAAAAUUGAUUAAAAAAGGGUGUGAAACUUAUUUAGCUUACGUUCUUGAUUCGAAGUGACCGAAUCAAAAAUUGAUCAAGUGCCGAUAGUCAAAGAGUAUGCUAAUGUAUUUUCCUGAAGAAUUGUCCGGGUUGCCACCAACUCGAGAAGUAGAAUUUGUGAUUGAAUUUGUGCCGAGCAUUUAAAAGUGGUGAUGCAAACUUUGAGUGAAAAAAAACUAUAUGCGAAAUUUAGUAAAUGCAAAUUUUGGCUACGGGAACUUAAUUUCCUGGGACAUGUUAUAUUUUCUGAUGCAAUCAAAGUUGAUUCGAAUAAAGUAUUUGCGAUUGUUGAUUGGAAAAUUUCGAAGAAUGUCUUUGAAGUUCGAAGUUUCUUGGUACUAUUAGGUUACUAUUGGCGAUUUGUUAAAAUUUUCUCGAUCAUUGCUUCACCUAUGACCAAAUUACAAAAAAACAUUGAAUUUGUUUGGUAUGAUAAAUGUUAACAAAGUUUUGGUCAGCUUAAAAACAUGUUAACAGAAGCUCCAGUGUUACUUAGCCUUAAUCUGGAAUGGCAUAUGUUUUUUACAGUGAUGCGUCUCUCAAUGGUUUAGGUUGUGUGUUAAUGCAGUCAAGGAAAGUGGUAGCUAAUGCUUUUCAACAGUUAAAGCCGCGUGAAAAGAAUUAUCCUACUCAUGAUCUUGAGCUGGCCGCUAUUUUCUUCACCUUGAAGAUAUAGAGGCGUUGUUUAUACGGCGAGAAAUGUCACGUGUAUACUGAUCUCAAAAGCUUAAAAUAUUUAAUGACCCAUAAAGAACUGGAUCUGAGACAGCGACGUUGGUUAGAGCUAUUGAAAGAUUAUGAUUUGGUUAUUGAUUACCAUCCGGGAAAGGCUAAUAUGGUUACUGAGGCACUCAGUAGAAAGUCAUCAUUGUUUGCACUUCGAACGUUGAAUGCUCAUUUGGCUUUGAAUGUUGAUGGUUUUGUAUUAGCGGAAUUGAAGACUAAACCCUUGUUUCUACAAUGAAUUCAAGAAUUUCAAAAUGAUGAUCCAAAGUUGAUAAUGAAACGAAACUUGGUUUGGGAUAAUUUGACUAUAGAAUACAGUAUUAGUGAUGAUGGUACAUUGCAUUACCGCGAUAGAAUUUGUGUUUCGAAUAAUUUAAAUUUGAAACGUGAUAUACUAUCAAAGGCUCACAGUAGUACAUAUUUCAUUCAUCUGGGUAGCACAAAGAUGUAUUGUGAUUUAAACAGAUGUACUGGUGGCCGGGUAUGAAACGUGACAUUUAUGAGUUCGUAGCCAAAUAUUUGAUUUUUUCAACAAGUAAAAGCAGAACAUCAGGUGUCGUCGGGAUUAUUACAGCCUGUUAUGAUUCCUGAAUGUAAGUGGGAGCAACUUACGAUGGAUUUCGUAUCUGGUUUACCUGUAACUCCGAAAAAGAAAGAUUCGAUCUGGGUGAUUGUUGACUAAUUGACUAAGUCGGCCUAUUUUAUUCCAAUUAAAAAAAAUUACUCACUUGGGAGGUUAGCGGAAUUGUAUGUGUUAGAAAUUGUGAGGUUGUACGAAGUUUUGAGAUUUAUUAUUUUUUAUUAUGAUCUGCGGUUUACAUCGUGAUUUUGGAGUAAACUUUACGAGACUUUGGUCACUAAACUCAAUUUCAGUACAGUGUUUCAUCCUCCGACGGAAGGACAAUCAAAACGAGUAAUUCAGACUUUAGAAGACAUUCAACGGUGUUGUAUUCUUGAGUUCGAAAGUAGCUGGGAAAAAUAUCUACCGUUAGUUGAGUUCGCUUAUAAUAACAAUUAUUAGUCCAGCAUUAAAAUGGCACUAUUUGAAGCUUUAUAUGGAAUAAAAUGUAAAACGUCGUUGUAUUGGUCCGAACUGAGUGAAGCUAAAAUGGUAGGGAUUGAUUUGAUUUAAGAAAAUGAAGACAAAGUUUGAAUUAUUCGAGAUUGUUUCAAAGUUACGUCUGAUUGUCAGAAGUCGUAUGCAGAUUUGAAAAGAAAAGAUAUAAAAUUUUCUGUUGGUGACCGGUUAUUUUUAAGAGUUUCUUCGUGGAAUAAGGUGUUGCAAUUCAGCAAGAAAGGAAAGUUGAGUCUGAAAUUUAUCAAGCCAUAUGAUAUUACCAAAAGAAUCGGUCAUGUACCUUACAUAUUAGCUUUACCUCCUGAACUCGAGAAAAUUCAUAAAGUGUUUCAUGUUUCAAAGCUAAGAAGGUAUAUAUCUGAUCCUUCACACGUGCUUCCUCAAAGUGAAAUUGAAUUUCAACCAUAUUUGACGUAUUCUGAAGAGUCUGUGAAAAUUUUGACUUGGGAAGUCAAAGAGCUUCGAAAUAAAUGAGUAUCGUUGGUGAAAGUUUUGUGGCAUCCUCAUGGUACUGAGGAAGCUACCUGGGAAACCAAGGAAUCGAUGAAAUUACAAUAUCCGAACCUAUUUUCAAGUAACAAUUUUGAGGACAAAAUUUCCUAAGGGGGAGAGUUAUAACAACCUAUUUUUCAGUGGUGAUGGAAUAGUGAUUUCAGGACCACAAAUUCCCAUCGUGUCAACUCGUAAAUAUAAUUUAUAGAAUAUUUACGGAGUCAUUAGACUCGUAUUAAAAUUUAGUUAAGAAAUUUUAACGUUUAGAUAUAUAAUUAAGUAAAAAGGACUAAAUCGUAAAAAGAGUAAAAGUUGAGUUCUGUUAGUUAAAGGGAUUUAAUAGCUUUGAAAUCUUAAAUUAAGGGACUUGAAUGGUAAAUAAACCAUUUAAUGAAUUAGUGGGUGUGCAUGGGCUUAUUGAAAUUAUUGAUUAAUGAUAAGGGUAAAGUGGUAAAUUAACACUUAAAAAUAAAAUUAAAUAAGAAAAGAUGAAAAAAAGUGAUCAUCUUCAUGCUUUUGUCUUUGGAGAACUGAAAUUCACCAUUGAAGAGGAGAUAAGCUUCGGUUUGAAUUCUUCUUGCAUGGUAUGUGCAUUUGAUCCCGUUUUGAAUGAUUUUUAUGUUUUUGAGAUUGUUGCAACUAGGUCCAACUAGCCCGUACCUUCAUUUUUGAAACGGUUAAAACUUUUAAAAUUUGCCAUUGAUGAAUCUUGAAUGUUUUUUUAUGACAACUAUGUAUUUGAAGAUUUGAUUGUGGUAUAUGGUUGUUUUGUAAAGUGAUUUUUGUUAGAUUUUGAUUUAAGGAUUAAAUUUUUAAAAUGUCAAAAUUUCAAGGUUUGAUGGUGAAUUUGAUGUGUAAUAAAGACUGUUAAAGGGCCUAGAAUAAUCAAUUGUAGUUUGAUUCUUAUAAAAUGGUCAAUUUGAUGAUUUUUGGGUUAGAGGAUUAAAUUGUAAAAGUUGUAAAAGUUUACGAAAAAUGUGUAAUUAAUGAAAAUUUAAGGUUCAUAUGCAUUGAAUAGAAUGUGAAAUGUGUAUGAGAUUAACAUAUUAUAUUUAAUUAUUAUAUAGAUCAAAACUUGGAUAAAAAAGACAAUAACCGAGGAAAAGGGAAAAUAGCAAAUUAAUCCCUGCGUGUUGGUCGGAAUCAAAUAGUAGGUAAGUUCAUAGUGUUUCAAUAUGUAAAUGAAUUUGUACUUGUAUUCUUGCAUUAUAGUUCUUUAAUUAAAUGUUUACAGUUAACAAUUGAAUGAAUGCACAUAAGUGCGUCUGUUUGUACUUCGGUACCCUUGAAUGCACAUAAGUGCCCCUAUUUGUACUUUAGUACCCCUGAAUGCAUUUACGUGCCCUGUUUAUACUCCGGUAACUCUAAAUUAUAUAUUAUAGGAACUGUAUUUGAUUUUAUUUAAAUUAAAUGUUAUACUAUGUCCUUGCAAAGCUUUGUAAGCUUAUCGGUUCUUAUGGAUUAUCUUGUAGAUAAUCAUUGCUGACAUUUUGGAAGGAUCAUUCAACUGGCUCACACUAUCCAUCUAAGUUGGUAGUUUUUUGUAUCUCCUAGGGUAGUGGCAUGUAUAAAUUUAUUUAAAUGAAUUUGUGGUUGAAAUUUAUAGGGUGUUUAUAAUCGAGUUUGAUGAAUAUGUAAAGGAUAAUUUGGUAUGUUUGUGUCUUGAUGUUUAAGUAAGGUUGAUGGACUUAUAAUGCCUGUUAUGUAAGUCUUUUUGGUCACUGUUGGUAAUUGAUGUGUAUGUCCUUUUGGUAUGAUGAUGUUGGCUUUGAAAUGGUCGAUUUGUGGUAGGUUUUGGUAAGUGGUUGAAUUAAGUUAUGGUGUUUGAAAUAAGGAAUUGUUGAUUUGUUUUGGCAUGUUAUGUUUGGUUGUUAAUUGUGGUUCCUUUGAAUGGCAUAUUGGUUAGUUGAAUUAGGAUCUUGAAGUGGCAUUUUGAUAUGUGUUUGAGCGAUGAUUAGGCCCUUUUAAAGUGUGAUUAAAAGGGUUGAAACGUUAUGCAUGAAUUGGCUUUGAAUUGGCUUGAUUUUAGUUAAAAUUUGGAUUCAUACGGCCUUAGACACAAGCGUGUGAUUCAACCAUGUGAGGCACACGACCUAGCGACAUGACCGUGUUUCAUUUGAUAGUUUCUUAGUCUAAAAGUCAGUAAGUUACACGGGCUGACACACUGGCGUGUAGGGCUACUCAAAGAGUUACACGGCUUGGCACACGGGCGUGUGACAUGACCGUGUAACCUUACUCAGAGAGUUACACUGGUGAGGACAUGGGCUAGGACACAAUUGUGUGUCCCUAUUUUGAAAGUCACACUGCCUAGGGCCAUGUCACAUGGCUUGGCCACGCGGCCGUGUGACCCCUGUUUUCAAAUUUUGUGACUUUUUCCUAAUCUUUCUAAAUUGUUUCAAAUUAGUCCUGAAUUGCUCCUAAGCUAUUUUUAGGGCCGCAAGGGCUCGAUUUAGGGACGGUGUGCAUGUGAAUGAUUGGUUUAUGAUAGUAUUAACAUGUUGAAUGAUAUGGGGUUUAAAUACUUUUUAUUGUACGGUAAUGCUCCAUAACCCUAGAUCAGUUUAUGAUAGUAUUAACAUGUUGAAUGAUAUGGGGUUUAAAUUAGUCGACGAAGAUGGCUUAGGAGUUUACAGAAAUGAACGAUGAUUUUUGAGUAAUGAUAUGGUUUAUGAUGAAAUGUGCAAUUGAAAGGAAAAUUUGGUUUAAUGUAUGUGUAUGAGGGAUGAAUUACAAAAGUGAAAUGUUAAAUAUGUUUUACACCAUGCUUUGAUUGGAUUUAUAUAUGAAAUGUUGCACCAAAUGAUUUUGUGAGGUGAUGUGUAUAGGAAAGGAAAAUUUCCUUAUGUUAUAAUGAAGUUAUGCUUGGUUGUUUAACUUAAAAUGUUCGGUAAGUUUAAGUUUCCUUGAUAUGAGCUUACUAAACACUAGUUUCUUAUGUUGUUUUCUCUAUCAUGCAGAUCAUCAGAAAGCUUGACUGGUUCGAAUCUCGUUACAGCACCAUCACACUAUCCAUACGUUAUUUUGGUAAUUUUUAUAGCUUUAGUUAUUGGUUAUAAAUGUCAUGUAAUAGGAGUUUAUUUUAUGCUAAUUAACAAUGUGUUGUGGUUUAAGUUUACUUGUCUAUAUGUCUUAAUGUUGGCUUAUAAAUGUAUAUGUAAGCAUGAGUUUUGUUCAUCUGUGAAUGCGUUGUGAUUUAGAUGGCUUUUGGUUCAUAGAAGUGUAAAUUAAGUGGUUAUACGGUAGAUGUGUGAGGUAAGUUUAAAAUAUGAAAUUAUGGCAUUGAGUUUGAGUUGAUUUGAAUAUUUUCAUGUGGUACUAAUAAGGGUACAUUGGUUGGUUGAUGGAAAUAGGUUGUGUAUGUGUGAUUUUGGCAUGUUUUGGUCUUGUUUUAGUGAAUUACUAAAUGGGUCUAAGAGUUUGCUAAUUGUAUACUUGUGGCCCAAUAAAACAUUUUUGGUAAACUUGAUUUUUAAGGUACAUUUUGGUACACCCAGCCUGAGACAUGGGCUAUCACACGGCCGUGUGUGUCACAUGGUUUGUUCACACGGUCGUAUGUAUUUUCAAGUUUCAGGUGCAGGUUUAACAUGGUUUCAGACACGACCGUGUGGCCCUAGUCAGUUAGUUACACAGUUCGGGAACACGGGCGUGUGUGUUAAACACACGACCAUGUUUUUAGACGCACGGGCUAACCUGUGUCACACGGCCUGGCCACAUAGGCGUCUGACCCCUGUUUUAAAAAAAUUCAAAUUUUACCUAAAAUUUAUGUUUUGAUUCAUUUUGAUCCCUGAUUGCUUUUAAGUUGUUUUUAAGGCCCCGAAAGUUUGAUUUAAGGCCUAAAUAAGUAUGUUUGCUAUGAUUGGAAUGAAUUAUUGGUAAUUAUACCUAAGUUGAAUUAUUUGUUUCGGGUUUAAAGUCAAAGGUUUUGUUUUGUACAGUAACACUCUAUAACCCUAAUCCAACGACGGAGACAAGUUAGGGAUGUUAAAAGAUUGUUGUUCUUGUGCCUCUCAAUUCCAACUUGCUUGUUAAUCGAACUCAACAUCUCGACUUAUGAUAAUCCUUCCAUUGUUUGGGUUAUUCAACUUGUAGCCUUUGGAGUUUGAGUCAUAGCCAAUGAAAACAAAUUUUAAACUUCGACCAUCAAGCUUCGAUCUAUCUUGGUCGGAUACAUGUGCAUAAGCAAUGCUACCAAACACCCGUAGAUGUCUAACACUUGGCUUUCUUCCACUCCAUGCUUCUUGAGGUGUUAGACGAUUCACGUUCUUUGUUGGAGAGCAGUUGGACAAGUAAACUACACAAGAAACAACUUCGGCCCAAAAUUCAUUGGGCAUAUUCUUUGCCUUCAACAUACAUCUAGCCAUGUUAAGAAUAGUUCUAUUUUUUCUUUCCGCUACAUCAUUUUGUUGUGGCAAUCUAAAACCGUUAAAAGAUUAUGAAUUCCAUGUAGUUUACAAAAAAUAAUUGAAUUGAUUGGAAUGAACUCAUUGAAUUGAUUGGAAGUGAUUUCACCUCCUCUAUCGAACCUUAAAUAUUUUAUCUCAUAGCCACUUUCUAUUUCAACAAGAGCUUUGAAAAUUUUAAAUCCAACAAAGGCUUCAGAUUUUUGCUUUAAGAAGUAAACCCAAGCCUUUCUACUAUAAUCAUAAUAAAAAAACAAUAAGUAUUUACUUUUACCAAAUGAUGGCAGAUUGAUUGGUCCACACACAUCGGUAUGAACAAGUUGAAGAGGCUCAGUUGCUCUUGAUGUUGCUUCUUUCGGGAAGCUUGAGCUUGUGUGCUUGCUUAGGAGACACGCCUCACAUAAUUGAUUAGGAUGGCUAAUGGUUGGAAUUCCUUUAACCAUCUUCUUUUCUCUAAGAACUUUGAGUGCUCCAAAAUUUAAGUGGUCAAAUCUCAUGUGCCAACACCAUGCUUCAUCCUUCACACUAGCCUUUAAGCACUUUGCUUCAAUUGUCUUGAGAUUUAACAUAAACAUUCUAUUCUUCGACAUGGAUACUUUAGCAACCAAGUUGGCAUAUUAAUCUCUUAACCAAAGGAAACAAUCUUUCAUGUGAAUUUCAUAACCCCUUUCAAGGAGUUGUUCCAAACUCAAGAUAUUGCUUUUUAACUUGGGAACAUAGUAAACAUUGGUAAUAAGGCUAUGACAACCAUCCUUUAGAGAAAUUAGAAUGAUAUAUUUCCCUUGGAUUUGGACUUUCGAAAAGUCCCCAAAUGAAACAUUACCUUUAACCUUCUUAUCAAGCUUCACAAAGGCCUCUUUGCAUCUGCACAUGUGAUUGCUUUCUCCAUUGUCAAGAUACCAUAUGUUUGCAUCAUUGCUUUCUUCAUUCUUAAGUGCUAGCAAUAAAGUUGGCUCUUCCACAUCUUGUUGAUCUUUAAUGAGAUUGACCUUUUCUUCAUUUUUGUUAGAAUCAUUUUGUCAUUUUGAAGAAAAAUGGUCAAAAUUAUGACAAUUGUAACAGUCAACACUAGACUUGUCAUACCACUUUUCAUUCGAUCUUUGAUAAUUACCUCUUCCUCUUCCUCUUCCUCUUCCUCUUCCACGAUUUUUAGUUGAUGGGUUCCCAUUAUCGUUGUUGUUAUUUUCACGAUCACCUAUUUCACGCCUUCCUUGGCCAUAACCUCGUCCGUGACCUCUUUGUUUCUUUUCUUCUCGACAAUCUUUCAAAAAUACCUUGGCUUUAAGAGCUUAUUCUAAGGACUCAUCUUGUCUCCUCUUAAAUUUGUCUUAUUGUGCUUGCAACUCAUCCAUUACUUGUUCAAUAGUCAUAGAGUUUAAAUCUUUUGACUCAAUGACACAAACCACAUAAUCAAACUUUGGAACAAAAUAAUAAAAGAUCUUUUCAAUAACAGAAACCUUUUCUAAGGUAUCUCCAUAUCUCUUCAUUUAAUUAACAAUAGCCAACACCCUUGAAUAAUAGUCCAAAAUUGAAUCAGUUUCCUUAUCUAUAAAGCUUCAAACUUACAUUGUAAUACUUAGAGUUGAAGCUUCUUCACUUUGUCAACUCCUUGAGAGAAAUUUGCAAAUUCUCUCAUGCUUCCUUUGCGGUGUUAGCACUAGCCACUUUCAAAAACAUCGAUUCAUCCAAACAUUGAUGGAUGAGGGUGAUGGCUUGUUGAUCCUUCUUCCUUGUUGUCGCCAAGACAUCCCUAUCUUUUUGCGACAAAGAUGCCUAAUCUUAAGGAAAAUCAUAAUUAUUUUAUAUGAUCUCCCAAAUAUCUUGUGAGCGAAGUAGAGCCUUCAUACGAAGGCACCAAUUUUUAUAGUUGUGUUUUUUAAGACGAGGAAAUUGAAAUGAAAACAUUUCAUUGUUGGCCAUCUUCUCUCAAUAUCGAACCAAGGUUUGAAUACCACUUUGUUAGAAGGAGGUGGAAGAGAAAUAACCUUUAGGAAAGAAUGAACUCACUUUGUAUUGAAUUUUGUUUUCUUUCACUCUCUCUUACCAUGCUUCAUCACAUACAACUAUUUAUAUAAUAGUUGUAAGUGACUAUUGAUUUCAACACAUUCAUGUAUCCUAGUUAAGUAUAUGCAUGAAUACUAGAUACAUGUACUCUAAAUACAUUCAUUAAAUACAAGUACUUGUAAGUAAUGAACAAAGAUAUUUUAGAAUGUUACAAAUUAUAAUAUUCAACACUUCCUUCUCUAACUUUCUAUAACUUCUCCAGUCUAUACACCUUUGAACCAAACUAAAUAUGCAAUAUUAAGUUUAAAUUUUAAAUGAGUAGGAUAUGAGGUAGAUGUAAGUAAUACUAAUAUGCUUAUGUGGAAUAUCAAGAUUGAAAAAAAAAGGUUGCGUUACUGUUUCAUCCAACUUUUAACGAUACAAUGACUAAAAUUUUAAAAUUUAAUAAAAUAAAUUAAUAAUUAAAAUAAAAAAUUUUAAACUUGAAUGACUAAAAUAGAAACACACUCAAAGAUGGAUGACAAAUAGUAUAUUUUAUCCUACUUAUUUUUAUGAGCUAAAAUGGUUGUAAAAAAUCCAAGAGCUAUUGAAACACCUGGUCUCCCUUCCAUAUAUGCAAGCGCUAACCAAACACUUUGUUAAGCUUACUAUUUUUUCAUCAACAAAGUCUGAAGUGAAAACAAUUCAAAUCGAGCCAAAAUGUUGAUGCUAUACUGCAACAGGAUAUUAAAUGAAGUAAUAUAUAUACACUUGUAUAUCAGAAAGGUGCAGCAUAAAGAAAUGCUUUUAAGUUGUAGAUACGACUUUACUGAAUCUAAAAGUGGCUUACACAUGUAUUACUUACAAGACUACACAACUUCAAAGGUUAAUAAAGAAAAAGCUGAUCCUCAUGUUUCGAGACACUAAAUUCCAACUCUCAAAAUGACUCUUCCAUUGAGGUUUUGGAAAUAACGUGAAAGGCAGUGGUCAGGCAAGUGCCAGGUCCAAAACCCAAAUUUAUUAAAACAAGUGAAACACAAAACAUAUUUGUGAAUUGUGACAUUUGAAGGUUUCAUUUAACCGCAUGGCACCAAUGGCAUGCACCCAUUCCAUGCAUUGAUAGGGUACCAAAUGCUUAAUAACCUUUUUUGUUGAACACCUGAUAAAGUGCCCUUGGAGUAGUUAAUUAGAAUAUGAUCUAACAACUUCAAAGAAUAUAUAUUUAACAGAUGAAGAAUAACAACAAUUACAUGUGUGGGAUAUUAUGGACUAACGCAUAAAAGGAUGCUUUAAAAAUGCAGUUGUCUUUUCAACAAAUAUUAUCACUCCCGGGACCAACUCCAUGACCGAAGUGCAUAGGAUCUCCGGCAAAGCCUUCCAUGAGAGCGAAUUUCAUAUCCUCGGAAGGUUUCCAGUGCCGCUUCCUCUGGUUGAUAAACCAAUUGUUGAUUUGCUUCUGAUCUAGUCCUGUUAUCUCUGAUAAUUUCAAUUUAUCCUCCUCCUGCGAUCACCACAAACCCUUCCUAACCAUUAACCCCUAGAGAAGCAUAUCAAACCUUCAAUAAAGUGUAAUCUAGAAAUAGAAAAGAAAAAAAAAAAUUCCAACUCCAUACCUACUCAGUAAUGCUUUUCAAAGAUGAUUACAUUUUUAAGGCCAAAAGAAAAACAUGAUGCUCAUGAUGUUAAUUUAGCUAGCAAACAAUAUCUUCAGUAAAAGCAUCACGAAGUAUCGAAUUGCAUUUUACACAUUUCACUCAAAAAAUAGAUAAAUUAGUCCUGCAUGUUAGAUCAAAAAGUAAAUUGGUCAUUUUUAUCCAUUCUUAUUGUCAAAAACUAACAUGUCUGUCAAAUAGUUACAUGUGAAGUGUUACGUAUAAUUCAUGUAAAAUAUCAAAUGUACAAGAACUAAUUUACCCAUUUUUUAGUAAAUAGGGCAAAAUGCAAUAUAACUUUUAAUACAAAAGUCUUCAUAGUAAUUUCCACCCAAUAUCUUCCUACAUCCCAAAUACAUGAAAAGGAACGCCCCCUCAACCAUAAUGCAAAAAGAAUAAAUGAGUUCCGGCACUCCUUCAAUGGCUCUUCGGGUAUGUUUAGUAUUGCUUUUAAAAAAUACUUUUGGGACAAAAAACACUUUUAAGAUAAAAAUAUUUCUAAACAAGUUACUGUUUUAGAGAAAAAUACUUCUCCCAAGCCAAAAAUGGGCCCAAAAACACUUUUUUAAGAAGCUGGAAAUUCUAGUUUCUCCCCAAAAAUACUCUUUUCCAAAGCCUUACUCUUUCAUUUUUGUAACAUAAUAGUUGAAGACAAACUUUCCAAGACAUUCUUGUUAACUGUCAUUGUUGUAGGACUUAGUUGGGUUGAAAAGAUACUAAAAGAAGUGUACGUUUGGUGGAUAUGAUUUUAAUGAACAACUGAAUUAGGGUUCAAAGACAAUGCAGUGGUCUUCCUACUGAUUCUUUUCCGUGAAAAGUAACCCCAAAGAGGGCAAAUAAGCAUUUAGAAAUGAAAAGUUUUCCGUUUGAAUUGAAUUAGCUACAAUAUUUUUCUCUCUCCUUUCACGAAAUUCCAUUGAAAUUCAUCAAAUACUGCAUAGGCAAGAAUGAAAGAAAAAAAGUACAAGAGAAGAGAGAGCAAUGUUAAGUAGGAAAUAAGUUGUAGUGUAAUUACCGUUGGAUAAGGCCAUCUAUAAUGAUUGUUCCACCAAUCAAGCAGUGUGACCCUUGCUUCUUUUGGUAGCUUACCCUUUUUCCUUUUCUUCAAGAAUUCUUUCCUCAAACUGCUGAGAUAGCCACCGUAUUUGCGCAUCAGCAUUCCUUUAAUGUCCUGCCUUCCACACUCAUCUUGAUUUUCAAAACCUUCUACCUCCCCACCACUUAACUCUUCCACAGAACUCCCACCACCUUCAUCUGAAAAGAAAUGCACAUAAGAUGGAUAUCCCAGUCAUCUUUUUGGUUCUUGUUGGAUCAAUGGAAUGCCGAGUAGGAGCAUGUUAUAUAUGUUAUGGGGUUCUUAAGCGUUUUUGGUACUUCUGGUUUUGAGGUGUUUUUCUUUCUACAUUGGACAUGAUCUUAGAGUUCUCUUGCUCUUAGAUUUUUCCAUUCUUGGAUGGUUUUCAACUCUUUGUAUUCUUAGUUAAAUUCUCAAUUGGAAAAAGAAAAAAGAAAGAACAACCUAAGCAUGAUCAGCAAAAUAGGUGAGUAGACAAGAGGAAGUUUGGUUGGUUCAGGUUACCUUACAUUUUCAAAAGUAAUAAGUAGUGCAAGAUUCCAAGGCAAUAUUUAUUCUAUAACAAUUUUACUACUCGUAUAAUUUUGGUCAACAAGAUCCUUUCAUUUUAUAACAUUUUUAUAUAUUUUUUUAUAUAUUUUUAAAAUUAUUAUAACAUAAUAUUUUAACUUAAAACGUUAAUCAAAAAGAUAAAAUUUUCCGUUAUUAUAAUUAAUAUAAAUAGUAUAUUAAUCACAUUUAAAUAUUGAUUUAAAAUUUACGAAAAUUUGUGUAAUAAUAUUUGGUACAGUGAAAUUUUUAAACUCCAUAAGUAGAUUUAAGGAGUUUCGAGUAUCUUAUAAAAGUAUAGUAAAUUAUUAAAUAUACAUAUUUAAAAAAGAAAGACAUCAAUUUUUUAAGAUUGCUUAUGUACCAAAUACUCACCUAUUAAUUAUUAUAAUAUUACUUUAAAUGUAAUAUUUAGAUUUCUAUAACAAAAAAUAAUGAUUUAAAAUUAUGAAAAUAUGGAUAGUGAUAUAUAGUACAAUGAAAUUUUUAAACUCUAUAAAUAGAUUUAAAAAGUUACGUAUGUUAUAAGGGUAUAGUAAAUAAUUAAAAAUAUAUAUUUAAAAAAUAUCAAUUUUUUAAGAGGGCUUUGUAUGCCAAAUACUCUGUCUAUUAUUAUAAUAAUAUUACUUUAAAUAAUGUAAUUUUUAGAUUUCUAUAACAAAAAAUAGAAUGUGAAGCUUUAAAAAAGGUUUCGUGAACUUUCAGAUGAGUCCAAUUAAUGUUGAAGAAAUUAAAUUUGUUAAGAAAAAAAAUUCUAAAACAAUAGUAAUUUAGUAGAACAUUUUUUUCUUAUAUUUUAAUUAAAUAAACCAAACAGAAUAUCAAUUAUGUUUUAAAUAAUAUUAAAUUUUCGCAAUCCUAUUACUAAAAAUUCUUUAACUAAACUCGGAUUUUCAACUCAAUGAUAGUUAAUGAGGGAAAAGAAUAUCUUUUACAUGCACAGUAGAAAGGAGAUUGAGCUCUUUAGAGAUCACUAUAUAUACAUUGAUUCUUUUUUUUAAUGCAAAAGCACACUACUUAUAGUAUUAGUAUAAUAGCAAAUAUGUACAUAUAAUUUUGGAUGAGAAAAUGCACUGUUAGAAAAACUUUACCAAAGGGAUAAUCCAAGUUCUUUGUCAGUGCUCCUUUACAGAGAUCACUUAGCUGUGAUUUGAUGUUGCUUAAGAACGUUGUCGCUUCAUUGAAUGGCUUUGAUAGCUCUUCUUUGUAUCUAUGGAGAACCUCACAAUAUGAUUCCUUCAACCAAUUAAACAACAAAUGAAAACCAAUAAUAAUAAUAAAAAGGUCAUCCAACUAUUUAUUCCAUGCAAACAAGUAUUCUUCUCUCUCUUUCCUUGCAUUUUCUCGAGAACCAAACAAAACAUAAAAAUAGUUUGAAGUACCAUGAACUCGUCCAGUUCAGGAUCAGCUCCUAUCUCACUGCAAACAUUUACAGACCGGUUCUCACGGCCAAUUUCUUCAAGAAGAGAGGCCAGCUUAGGCGGUGCUCCAACCUAUAUUUAAAAAAAAAACAUUUAUUAUUAUAAUUAAUCUUAAAAAACCAGAAAAAAAAGGGUUAAAAACACAAAUAACCACCUUUUGGCAUUCGAUGUAAGCAGAUACUAGGUUUGGAUAACGAGGGUGAUUCGAGAUCUGGGACUUGAUCAGACCAGACAUAUGGGAUCCAGUGGCAUCUGUAUCAACUUCUUGAUCAUCAAAUUGAAGUAAAUGAUCAACUGGACUGAGAAAAUCAGCUGCAGUAAAGUUUGGUGCAGCAAAGUUAUUCACCCUUGCAAUACCAUUAGAACACGAGAUUAUAGGAUCAUCAAGUCUAUACAAAUCCUCCAUGCUCACCAAACAAAAUUUAACAAAAUAGUAGUCUAUUAAUUAACUCCUUUGAAGGCAACUUGGGUUUUGAGUAAAAAUCUGUAACUUGCCCUAGGAUGUAUCAAAUAAUAAGCUUAGAGUAACCCUAGAAAUGCAAGGUUUUGAGUCAUUGUACACCAAGGAACUAGUAGUUCAAGAAACAGUAGCAGCCAUUAGAGAAAGCAAAGAGAGGGAGAAGGAGGAGGAGGGCCAAGAAAGCUAGGGAGGAAGCAAAAACAUCUGAGAGGUCAGAAAAAGUGGUUUUCUCAUCUUAGCUGAAGUUGAAGUAAUGACAAGGACCAGACCUUUGCUUUUUCUUUUCCAAUAAGGCCUGAGAGAGAGAGAGAGAGAGAGAGAGAGAGAGAAUGUUGGGUGCGGAUUACAUUUUUUACACAUUGCGGAGAUGUGGUAUCAUUGAUAAGAGCGAAAAACAAGGGGGAGGAGGGGGCUUAAACACUCACCACACGUGUUCCCACGCUCUGCAACAGUGAUCACUGUUCCAUCACUCAUUCACUCAUUUAUUAAAACCCUAAUUUAUUUAUUACUUAGUUAGGAGGCCGUGCUUUACUUUGAUUGCGUAGAACUAAGGUGAGGUAAAUGAAAUCUCUGUGCUGAUAGACAUGCCAUUCUGCCACGUUUCUUUACGAAAUUGGUUGUCUUACUGAGAUGUUAGCCCCUACAAAAAUAUUAUGGGAAAUGUAGUACACUGCAGCGAAAUACACGGUGGUUUUGCACAACACAUCAAAGUAAACAAUUUCCUUUUCAAGUUUCAAACAAAUUUCAUUUCACAAAGAUGAGUUGUUAUAAUGUCAAUCAAAUGGUAAAUGACUAAAAGAUAAAAAGAGAAGUUGAAAAGAAGCUAACAACAUCUUAGACUAGUAGUAAGAAUAUUAAAUUGCGAGUAUGAUAUGAUCUGCAAUAGGAAUCACCAAGACAGUAAUAUAGCACAAGUUCAUCCAAUAGAAUAGAAAAUUUCAGCAACCAAACUUCAAUAGCAGAAAUAGAGUCCCAAACAGAAUCGCAGAACAGAGAAGAAGAAAAGAAGAAAGGAAAGAAAGGUUCCCGUAUAAGUCUACUGAAGCUGGAAGGAAAUAGCUGCAGCCACAAGAUGAUUACAAUACUGACAUAAAAACUUUCCCUAGGUCAUCUAUUUUUUAUUUAUACACUCAAGAGUGUUGCCCAUUCCAACAAUAAACCAACUAAUACAACACAUAGUCCUUGAGAACCAUUGAAUUGGUCUUCUGACGCGUGGCUCUUCUGUUGGCUAAUGGUAUUUCAGUCAUUCCUCCAGGUGGCUUUUCCUCAACAAGAUUUUCCACAUCACUCAAUGGUUUUUGGUUCGUCACAUUACCCCCAUCUCCUAAAAAAACCUUGUCCUCAAGGUUCCAAGAAGGAUAUGCAGCUUGAAAAUCUAUUAGAGGAAUUAUUGCAGUUAGGAAAUGGUUAAGUAGUUCGCAGCAGUUGUGUGAUUCUGAUAUUUUGUUUUACAUUUGUUAUUACCGAUUGUAUCAGUAUAAAUACAGAAUUUAUGUACUCAUCAUUAAUCAAGAUUAAUGAAUUACUUAUUUUAGUCUAUUCUUUCAAUAUGGUAUCAGAGUUUCUCUUUUGCUGAUUGUUGCGUCAACAAUGGAGCCUGCCGCAUUGGCAGAAUCAGUAAAUGGCAAGUUUCUCUUUUGCUGAUUGUUGCGUCAACAACGCGUUACAUUGAACGGCUGGGUCAUUUCGCGGUCGUGGACGGGAUCGAUUUGGCAACAGAACACGACCGCAAUGUCAAAUAUGUGGCAAAAUCAGUCACGUCACCUGCCGGUGCUUUUACAGGUACGAUUCCACCCAUGAUGAGGAUGAAGAUGCAAACCCUAAUUCUGGUACUGGGUGUAUUGGCUCAUAUUCCAGUGGAUUGGUUUCUCCUGUGAGUUGCAGGCCUGAAUCAGCCUAUAUGUGUUACACUCACCAUGGGUCGUUUGAAUGCUCUUAUUCUGGGCCUCACUCUCACCAUUCAGUUAUUGGUCAUUCCAGCCCGUCCAAGGCUGCUUGUGUGGCUGCAGUUACUGUACGUUCCAUGCUAGCAACUGUUGCAUCGACAACCCCGUCCGUUGUGGCUGACCCUGCCAGGUAUCUUGAUAGUGGGGCCACGGCACACAUGACGAGUAACCCUGCCCAGUUCACCGACUCUCGUCCGUACCAUAGGUCAGGUAAGGUGAUCAUAGGUAAUGGUCACUCCAUUGACAUUUCUCAGGUUUUUUAUACAAAUAGGGUGAAAAAAAAAUCUAUUGAAAUAGGUGUCAAAAAAGUAUUUAUCAAAAUAGAUUAUUUUUUUAUUGGCGUCUAUCUAAUAAAAUAAUAAUAAUAAAAUUUUAAUACUUUUUUUAUAUUUUUUUAAUAAUUUUUUUAAAAAUACGGGUUAAAAUAUGGUGAACGGAUCGGGUCGGGUCGGGUCGGGUGGCGCCUAUCAGGUAGGCGCCAAUGAAGGUGCCUCAUAGAGAGACGCCAAUGGUGGCCUUCUACCCACCGCUACAUGGCUGCACAGCUGCACCAGCAGCAUGUCUUGUCCCUUCAAUUUUGUUUUUUUUUUUGCCUAUAGGUAAGGUCCCAAAACAGGGUAAAUUACACAUAAAAGCUCUAUUUUCUAAAAAUUUAUCGAAAUGGGUCCGGUAUUUUAUUAUUUACCAGAAUUGGUCAUUUUUCCCGAAAUCGCGUCCACGUCAGCGCGAUUACUUACGUGGCAACAAAUCGCAUUCACGUAAGCGCGAUUUGCUGACGUGGAAGCAAUAAUUCAUGAACAGUUGGUGUUUUUUAGCUUGGAAAACUUUGAAAGGCCAUAACUUUUGGCUCGAUUGUCCGAUUGAGACGAUUUUUUUUAUUUCAAAUAACUUUUCGAGAUCUACGAGCUGACAAACCGCCUUCGGCGGUUUGCCACAAUUUUCGUCGAAAAAGAUCCUUUUUUGCCUCUAAAUUUUGAUUUUUUCGGUUUAAAAUUGAAUUUUGAAACAUUCAAAUCAUUAUUUUCCUUAUUUAUUUGAAGUAAACACCAGAUUUUUUUUUACAAAAUUGUUGUAUUAUUUUUUCUGAUUUGACACGUGUAUGGAAUAGGUUCGAUAAAUUAUUAGAACGUAAGUAAUAUAAUUAAGAUAAUAACAGUAUUUUUAUAAUAUGUCAAUUAAUUAGUUUAGCUUAGUUGGUUAAGAUGCUUGCUCUUUUCCCUUAGUACCUUGGUUCAAAUCUUGUUGGUAAUAAUUUUGAAUCUUUUUUGUACUUGUUGCAUUUAUUUUUUUAAUCAAUUAACUCUUCAAUAUUACAUUAAUAUAUAUAUUAUUAGUACAAUAGUAUAGACGGAUUGACAAUUUGAGCUACAAUAUUAUGAAUAUUAACCACAAUACAUAAUUUGAGCUACAUAUUACAGUAAUACAUUAAUAUGUAUUAUUAGGGGCAAAAUACCAAAAAAAAGGGGCAAAUUACACAUAAAAGCCCUAUUUUUUUAAAAUUUACCGAAAUGGGCCUGGUAUUUUAUUAUUUACCGGAAUGGGUCAUUUUCCCCGAAAUCGCGUCCACGUCAGCGCGAUGUCAGGGGAUGUGUCAGCAAAUCGCGUCCUCGUAGGCGCGAUUUGUGUCCACGUAAGCAAAUCGCGCUGGCGUGGACGCGAUUUGUUGACACGUCCCCUGACAUCCCGCUGACGUGGACGCGAUUUCGGAGAAAAUGACCCAUUCUGGUAAAUAAUAAAAUACCGGGCCCAUUUCGGUAAAUUUUAAAAAAAUAGGGCUUUUUUUUGGUAUUUUGUCCCCCAAAACAUGCAAUGGGCACGGUAGAGAAAAAAAAAAGAGAAAGGAGAAGAAGAGAAGGAGAAGGAGAAGAAGAAGAAAAAAAAAGGUAAUGUAUUAUUUUAGUAAAUAAUUUUGUUUAUAAUUUAAAAAGUUUAUAGUUUGUGAAUUUUUUAGAAGAUAUUGUGAUUUUUUUGUUAUUAAUUAUUAAUUAUAAAUUAUCUAUAUUUAGUGUUUAUAGUUUGGAUUAGAAUUUUGUAUGAAUAUUCUAAUUUUUUUUGUAUGAAUAUUGUAUUUUUUUAUGAAUAUUGUAAUUAUUUUAUAAUUAAAUUUGUAUUUAUAGUUUUGGAUUAGUAUUUUGUACGGAUAUUGUAAUUUUUUGUAUGAAUAUUGUAAUUUUUUUUGUAUGAAUAUUGUCAUAUUGUAAUUUUGUAUGAAUAUUGUAAUGUCGAGAUAUAUUAUAAUAUUGUAAUUUUUUGUAUGAAUAUUGUAAUUAUUUUAUAAUUAAUUUGUUAGUAAUUUAUAUAAAUUAUUGUGUGUGUAAUUAUUUAAAUUUAAUUUAUUAGUAAUUUAGGAUUAAGCUAUAAGUUGUAGUGUUUAGUUUAGUAUUUGGUGAGUUUAACAUAUAAAGUUUAUAAAAAACUUAAAAAUCAUUUUAUUAAAAGUUUAAUUAUAAAAAAUUAAAAUUUAUUUUAUUAAAAGUUUAAUUAUAACUGACUUUUUUAAUCAUAUAGUUGUUAACUCAUUUAAUUUUUAUAUAAUGUAACUUUUAUAUAAUUAAAUUUUAUUUGAUUUUGUAUUUAUUUAACAGUAAUUAUUGAUUUUUUUAAACAAAUUAACUGAAUUCAUUUUUUUGAUUGUAGAUUUGCAGGAAAUGAGUUCUCUAAUUAAUAAUAAUAAUCACAUAUCAAGUACUAUUAAUGAGAUGGUAAUAAAAUGUUUAUUUGAUAUUCAUGUUAUUUGUUGAAUUAAAUUAUAUUGUAUUAACUAUUUUGCUAAUUUAAUAAUGCCAGGGUCCGUACCGCGUAUUGAGGGGCCGUGUUAAUAGUGUAGGGUUUCAGCCAGAUGAACGCCUAAUACCAUACUUAGAGUUAGCCGGAUUCAGAUCAGCGGCAUUGAUUCGGACUUUUGAUCUGCGAUACGACUUGAUUUCUGCUUUAGUCGAGCGAUGGCGUCCGGAGACCCACACAUUUCAUUUGUCGUGCGGAGAGUGUACCGUCACUCUAGAGGAUGUUGCAGUACAACUCGGGCUUCCCAUAGACGGGAAUGCGGUCACGGGCGUAAGUUCAAUCUCUAGGCCGGCUGCCCUUUGCAAUAAAUUACUUGGACGCUCGCCAAGUCAAGGAAAAUUUACCAAUUUCAGAUUUUCAUGGCUAAAGGCCAAUUUUGAGCAUUUGCCAAGUACUGCUAAUGAAUGGGAGGUGAUGCAGACUGUUCGAGCUUACAUUAUGCACCUUAUAGGGGGUGUACUCAUGCCGGAUGCAAACGGCAGUAAGGUCCACUUGAUGUACUUACCCCUAUUAUCCAACUUGCAUAACACUCGUUUAUACAGUUGGGGGUCCGCAGUUUUAGCCAUGCUGUAUCGCAAACUUUGCCGGACGACAGAUCCUUCUGCGGUUGACAUAGGCGGAUGCCUCACACUGCUGCAGUCAUGGGCACUUUACCGGAUGCCAUUCUUGGCAUCCAUUAGUCAUCAAUCAUAUGUAUUUCCACUCGUUAAUAGGUAAUGAAUUUUUACUCAUUAUAAUAAUUAGUUGACUUUUUUAUAUUGUAUUAUUCUAACAAUUUGUUUUCGUAGGUGGAGUACUAAUCCGGGUAUCGGGAGGUCAUCGACGGUUCCGAUAUAUCGUCUAAUGAUUGAGAAUCAUGCUGGAGAGGGGGUAAGUUUUUCGAAUAUAAACUUAAUUUUAUUAUUUUAUCUCACUCGACCUGCGUUAAUAUAACAACGUUAUUAACUGUGCAGUUUAUUUGGAUGUCGUAUCCUGCUCCGGAAAUUAUGGCAGUUAUGCCAUCAUCUGCCUACGUCCACUCAAACAUAUGGUGUAUUAGUGCACCCAUUAUCAAUUUUAACAUAGUGGAGUGGUAUCAUGGCAAUCGAGUACUCCGGCAGUUCGGUUGCAUACAGUAUAUCCCAACACUGCAGUACAAUUGGGGGAGAUCCAUGGGAUGAGCAAGAGGGGGAGGUAUGGAGAUAAUUGGGGAGAAGUGCACGAAGAAUAUAUUACGAUAUGGAACAACCGGUUCGGGAGGGUACCUCAGAUGGAUCGUGCUCCGGAUUUCCAGCCCUCGUUAGAGUACAUACAGUGGUACUGUGAGACAGGGAAACCAUUUCUGUUUGGUGGGCGCUCGAUUGUAGUCCCUCCACAUACUCCUCUCAUCCCGGAUCAAGUUCAUCGAUGGCAUUUGAGACAUAUGAUUAUUCAUCUAUGUUUCACACACCCUAACAUACUGUUGAGGAGAACGUUGAUAAUCGUAAUCGCCCACAAUGUGAGUGUCGAGCUCCACAAAAAUAUACCCCUAGAACCACACCAUCAAACCAUCAAUUUUAAGGGUUUUUGUAAUAAACAACCUCAUAUUUAUGUAAUGAUUUUUUUAUGUAAAUAAAAUUAUAAUGGUUUUUUAUGUAAAUAAAAUUAUAAUGUUUUUUUUAUUUUACAAUUUCAAAUUGCUCCAUAACUGCAACAAAUUGUAGACAAUUUUGUGAUUCAAACCAUCUUUAUGUAAUGAAGUACAUAUCAAUUUCUACCCGAUUGAGACGAUUGUCUAACAUGGUAGUUUCGGAGAGGACAUUUACUCCGAUUAUGACCGGCUAAUCUGCAUACGCCACACAAAUUCUGGAAGAUUUCUCCCUAAUGUCCAUUUCGUUAUGGAUUCUAGAUUAUUGCGGACGACCUUUCAAGUUUCUACGCAACCUUUUGUCUGGGACUAGCUUGAAGGUCGUCGGAGGUACCUCCCAAGUAGAUAGGUCAGGAAGAACGGGGAACUCGUUUUCCUAUACACGCAACGUGCGUUCGAUGGUGUACACUUCAUCGAUAAAUUGUUCUACAUUGAGCCCAACUUCAGCACAAGCUGGCACGACGUGUGCACAUGGAAAAUGAAGUGUUUAAAACCUCCUACAAUCGCACCGUCUAUUUUGGAGAUCAACUCCGUAAGACCUAGGUGGUAUACUAGGUCGACAACCGAUGGUCUCUGUAACUCGAAACGUUUCAUUAUGUCGUGAAUAUACUUCUACCGUCAUCGACCUCGCCAUUCGAUGGUUUACAACCAUUGCAUCCCUAAUGCCUUCGAUAAAGACAUGUCCCGCCUCCAUCUAGUUCACUUGUUGCUGACCCAUUCUUGGUAUCAAGGUAGCCAACCUGUAGAAUGUUACCGAGAAGACAGAUGAAAUUGGAAGAUGUCGUGUUUUUAAUAACACAGCGUUGAUCCCCUCCACUAAGUUUGUAGUCAUUUGACCAUAACGACAGCCCUCGCCAAAACUUUGAGCCCAUUGCCAUGGCUUCAUGGUACCCAGCCACUGCCGGAAAGAUGUGUUGGUUUGACCCUCCAUGUCACUCUCAAGCCGGGCCAUUCUUUGGCGAAAAAUGUGUGGCUCUAGCUCGUACACUGCAUAUGUAUUAAAAAAAUUUAAGUUACAGUAUUGCUCUAAAACAUUAAAACUUAUAUUGAAAAGAUAAGGUAAUUCUUUACCCAUUCUCAAAACUUGUCUCUUCCAGUCUGCAUUCUUAUAAUCUCACUGGAAGUUAGCCGCGAUGUGCCGGAUGCAGUAAACAGAUCUCCAUGGUACACCAGAACGCCUAAUGGCUGCAAUUAAUCCUUUCCUUCUAUCGGAAAUGAUGCAAAUAUUAUCAUUGCUAAUAACAUACCUCUGCAGGUUGGUAAGAAAGAACUCUCACGAUUCCAUGUUCUCCUUAUCGACGAUGGCAAAUGCUACCGGGAGCACGUUCCUGUUGUCGUCUUGAGCAACCGCAAGAAGUAAGAUAUGUGUGUAUUUAAAUAUAGCCAGGUUCCAUCUACUUGCACAAAUGGUUUGCAGUGGGGAAAUGCACGUACACAUUGAUCAAACGUCCAGAACAUCCGAUGGAAAAUUCUUUUUCUCGAUUGUUGUUAGUCAUUUGGCCCGUAAUAAGAUCGUGUCUGCAACUCAAUUACAGUCCCUGGCACGUGUUCCCUCAUAGCGGCUAUCCAUCCCUGUAAUUCAUUGUACGAUGCAUCGAAAUCUCCGUAUAAUUGCUCCAUUGCCAUCUGUUUAGCUAUUCAUGCCUUCCGGUAUGAUACUCGAUACUGGAAUCGUGCUUGUAUUUCAGCAAUCAGUACCGAAACUUUAAUGGUCGGCAUGUCUUUCACCGUUGGCAUGAUGCAUGUACAGAUAGUUUUGGAGUCAAGUUUUCGAUGAUCUUCUGUCAUAUGUGUUGAAGUGCAUGUGUGGGGCCCAACAAAUUUUCGUAUCUUCCACAUCUGUGACUUCUGCAUAAAUGCAGCUCAUAUCCGCCAAUUGCAGCCUUCUGCCGACCUCCAACACUCUCCAAUAUACAAUGUUGGUUUAGACUCGAUGACUUUGUAAUCUACUGAUAUAUUCAUGCUAUACCGCUUAAUGGCAAACAUGCAUUCUUCCUUACUUUCAAAUCUCUGGCCCACGCAUAACUCCUCUGGAUCAGAAUAUACGCCCAUUCGAUUAGCAUGUGGUAUUUCAGGGUACUCUGGAAACUCAGCUGCCCGUGCCGCAUUGAGGUCUAUCCGAGACAUGUGUGCCCAAGGAUUAUUGUGUAUCACAAUACGACGAAUUUGGUUUCCGACUGAAGACGCAUUAACGUUUCCAUCCUCAUUCACGCCUUCAUCGUUAAUAUCAUCCAGGACCUUGUCCGCGUUGGGAUCACUCUCACUAUCCACUUCGUAAUCAACAGGAUCACUACUAUAAUAUACAUCAUCACCAACCACAUCAGUCUUGGCUGCAGCAUUAGGAUCAAUAUUUAUCCCAUGUAUAGUUGCUUGACUAUCAAUAUACGAUACUGGAACCACCAUACACGGCGCUUCAACUCUAUCUUCUUCACCUAAUGGAGUGGGAACUUCAGUUGCCUCCACACCGGCUAACUCAGCAAAUAACUGAAUCAGUGCAUUUUUGUUACUCUGAGUCCCAGAAUAAAGAGCGACCAUUGUCUCCACAUCUUCAUCGUCUACAAGUUCCAUUUCGGUAAAUUUUAUUGGAUCUGUUGAAACUGGAAACUUGUAGAAAACUUUUGAUAUCCUUCUCCCACAACGUCUAUAAAUUUUUUCACUAAUUUUUCCUUCAUAUCAUCAAACAAGAUAUUUCUAUCAAAUCUCAUUGCUACUUGUUUGCGACAUUCAAAUAUACAUCCCACAGUUGUUGUCAAAAUUUCUCCAUCGAAAUAAACGCAUACAAAAAACUGAUUCUCCAUUUUCAAUACUAGAUCUGUUAAAAAGAAUUUCAAAUUUCUUAAAACAGUUUCAAAAUGUAAACAAAUUACAUAAAAAUUUUAAUGCAAAAUUUUUCAUUCAGAAGCUAACAAAAUUAAUAACCUGACAAAAUAACUUUCAAAUAAUAAAAUUACUAACAAGACUCUACAUUCUAUUUAAAAAGAAAUAAACCAAAAUACCUUAUUUUUUUCUUAUUUUCCUUCCUUCUUUUCUUCUUUUCCUUCCUUCUUUUCUUCUGCUUCCUUCUUUCUUAUUUCUUCUGUUUCUCUAGUAAAAUUUAUGUCUGUGUUGGGGGUAUUUAUAGGGAAAAAUCAGAGCAUUGGCGCCUCUCAGUAUGGCACCAAUAAUGGCGCCUCCCAGAUAGGCACCACCAUUGGCGCCUCUAAUACUAUGUAUUAUACGGGUUAUAUACUGACCCGGGAAAAUAUUUAAUUAUAUUUUAUUAAAAAAUUCUAAUAGGCUCCAAUGAAAAAGUAACCCAUUUGGUAAAUACUUUUUCUGACACCCUAUUUCAGUAGAUUUUUUUUUCACCCUAUUUGUGUAAAAAACCCACAUUUCUCAUAUUGCUAACUCUUUUUUUUCCCAUUGGUUAUGAUUCAAUGAUGCUUAAAGAUAUACUUUAUGUACUUGAUAAAAAAAUCUACUAUCAGUGUCAAAGUUUGCUAAGGAUAACAAAAUGUUUUUUGAAUUUUAUAUGGAUCGUCGCUUUAUAAAGGACAUAGAGACUCAUCGAAUAUUGUUUCGAAGCAUUGAGAAAGAUGGUUUGUACCAAUUUUCAUCUAACGCCACCCCUACUUUUGCGUUGUCUGCUUCACAUAUAGUUGCUGCUUAGUGUGCAGUGUCUCGAAAUAAUUUGUUUAAUGUGCAAUUAUACACAAUCAUUGACAAAUAAUAAAAUAGUGAAUAAGAGUUAUCGUCUCUAUAGAGACUGUUUAUACAAAUCAAGUAUUACAAAAUUAAUUACUAAGCAACUUGGUUAGUGAUGAAAAUAAAUUAAAGUGAUGGGUUUCUAAUUAUAUUAAACUAAGUAUGCUUAAAAUUAAAUUAAAUAAAUAAAGAAAUAAGUAUGCAAGUUUUUAAGAGAAAUCACAAUAGCAUGUAUGUGUAGAAUAAUUUUCCUUCCUAACUUAGAAAAAUCUAAAUAAUGCUAAUGAUGUUACAACAAAAAUCAUGGCCACUCGACUUUUUAUUAACCCUGUUUUAGUUACGAGUACUUUGGCUUCUCUCGAUGUCCUAAGUUUAACCUAUUAUCUGCAUAUUUCUAUGUCCAUUUCGACUUCAAGGUUACUUUUUCAAGCAUCGUCUAAAAAUUCACACUUUGCAUAUGUCUAUGUCAACAACUUAUUAUUUUUAAUAAGCAGAAAAUAGAUUAUUUGAGGUAACAAAAAUAUUUCUAUAUUAAAACAAUUUAAUCACAUAAAUCCUAGGGUUAUGCAAGGUAAUAAAGGUCUUUCGAUAGUAUUAUAAAUCUGACCUAAUAUUAUCAUAAAUAGAUCAAACAUGCACCAUUCAGAUAUUGUGUCAAUUAAUUACAACCUUAUUCUUAUUUAAUAAUUAAUUCAAUUGCAUCCUUACAUUUAUAAUGCACGAAUGACAUAUCCAUGGUUUUAUCUGAAUGAACAAGCAACUGAGGCACAUAACACCAUUAACAGAAUUAAAUAAUCUAAGCUACGGAAAUUAAAUCAUUCUAACGUUGACAAAAUUAAGCAACCAUGACUAUAUUAAAAGCAAAAAACUCAGUUGCAAUCAUGUUUCUUGAAUUGAAUAAAAAUAAAGGAUUUAAGGGUAAAGAAAUGCGAAGUUGUUUUUGGUGGCUCUCCAAGGCACAACUCACUUCGCUCAUCCUUCGUUCUUCACUUCUUUCAGUGAAUACCAAGCUUGAAUGCUCCUAUUAUGGCUUAAUGUGGUUGUUCUCAAAGCCUUGCAAAACUCUUUGAAGGAAGAAAAAAUAUGGAGAGUGAAAGAAGAGAGAAAAGAGAGAAAAGAUUAUGAAUGAAGGAUGAUUCAAAUGGGGGAAUGGCAAGGGGUAUUUAUACUUGUGAGGAGCCCUUGAGUUUGCUAAAAAUAGCAUGUCAAUCCCCAAUUUUUUCUCUCAUGCAUGGCUGACCACCUUGAAAAGAGGAAGGAGGGUGGAUGACUUUGCUAAAAAUAGCUAGUUCAAGCUUGAUUCAUGGAAGGAGUUGAACGAUCAUUUGAGGAAUUUGUUGGGGGCUGAUUUGUGAUUUUUUAACAAGUAUAGGGAGCCUAAUUUAAUUAAUUUAUGGACUGUUGGGCUGCUCAUAGCUGAAUUUGGGCUCUUUCCUCAUUAAUGGACGAUUUGGGCUUCAAAUUAAGCAACAGACUUGUCCACUUCAGUGAUCUAAUUACGAGUCGGGUCAAGUAUAUCCCAUGAUCCAAAAAUUUAUUGAAUUGGAUGCCCAAAGCUGAUUAAUUAUUAUCAGCCCUCCUCUGCAUGGCAAGUGCUACAGGGAUGCUACAAUAUUUGACCUUCAAAAGGUGAGCUUCAAGACUGCCUUUUCUCUUUUUGCACCAAAAAGCUUCAAAUUUGGCAAAAAUGCAUAAGUUUAGCAUAUAAAUAAUUAAAAAUGGAUUUUUUUUAAUUUUGUCCAUUUUAGUUAUUUUUUAAUAAAAUUAAAAAAUUUUCUAUCGAAACACUCAAAAUUUACAUGAAUUACUAGUCAGAAGGUGCUAAAAAAGUCUAUGUAAUUUAGAGUUAUCAACUUAAUUCAUUUCUCGUCUCGAGUAAUGCUAACUUAAAACUCAAAGAACCAUUUUUUCAAAAAUCACUUCAAACAAAAUCAAAUCUUUUCCAUAGUUAUGAGUUUAUCAAAAUUAUGCUAAAAAUAGAAGAUUUGGAAACAUGCAAUUUCAGUACAUAUAACACUCAAUUAUUUCAAAUAUUAAUACGCUAACAAAAAUAUGUAUUAAAUACCUUCCCUCAACAAAUGUAUGCUGAGUACUUCCCAAUUAAAUUUUAUUUCCUUCGAUUCAAUUAAGCAACAAUCCCUAAGUUUAAUUGUGCCUUCAUAUGUUGAGCUUAAUAAUUCUUCUCCACUAAUGUUGUCGGCAUAAUAAUCUAAAUCAAUAGGUCUUUCACAAGGUUGUAAUGGGGCUAGGGUUAAUGUAUGGAAAAGAGAUAGACAAUUUUUAGGUUAAAACCUUAGACUCGGCUUAUCUCAGACCUUCAAGUACAAAUAUCCUCAAGAACACCAAUUCUGUACAUUUUUUAGCAAAUGAUUUGUUUAAGCAAUCACUGUGGCUUUAUUGAGCAUACAAUUCAACAGUUUGAUCAUUCCAAUAUUUCUUUCUAACUCCUCCAAACUUAUUCAAAGAAAUAUUUUAGAUGUAUUGAGCCUAAGAUUUGGGACAAGUAGAGAUAAAUUUAAAGGAAAGAUGACUUAUUAAUGUAGGGUUUUAGAAGAAAAUAAGGUUAUAUAGCUCAAAGUAAGCUUUCAAGGGAUAAUUAUUAUUAAGGUUGGCUUGAAAGGCUCAAACGAUUCAAACAAAAAUUUGCCAAAAUCAUUUUUCCAAUUACUAUGUCUCCUAGGAUUUUGCCUCAAGGAAAUUACUAAGUCAAUUCUAAAAGUUUAAAAUUUAAUGCAUACUUAAUUUUUCUAAAAGUUUAAAAGUCUACACCAUACUAGGUAGCUCAUAAGAGCUUAAACUACACCGCACCAAAGUUCUAAGCAUGUAGGCAUAAAAUGCAUUCUCUUAUGUAUAUACAUCUCUCCACCACACCAAAGUCUCUGUAGAGACAUACGAUAUUCGAUUAUCCACAACAAAUGUUGGAUCUCGAUGUAACAAGUAGUAAAUCUCUGUACAAUCGCAUAUCUCGUACAAGCACACAAAUAAAUCUAUUGGUAUAUGCUAAUCGUAUCCUUUCAUUUACUAUGUUCACACAUGCACCUUUUUCACAUAUAACCAUUUCUUUACAAUUUAGUAUGUAUAUCACCUUUUGUACCAAAUUGUAAACAAUUCAAAUUUCAACCAAACACAUAUAUUCAUAGUUAAACUAUAUAAAAAUUUAAAUACAGUCGUACCAUAUGAACUUACCUAGUAAAAACAUAAAAUAAUAAGAUGUCAAGGAUUAAUCCAUUAUUUUACCUUUUCAUCAAUUAACCUCUAAUUGAUUCAAAUCUCGAUCUAUACGAUAAUUCAUUUCAAUUUAUCAAUUCCAAAUACCAUAUAACAUCCUAUUACAUGCAUAUGACAGUUCAAUUUCGCUUUUUAAAUGCUCCCUAUGUUCGAAAAAAUGAGUUUGGAAAACGCAGGGGGAAAUAAAUUUAAGGAAAACCAGAGUUUUAAUUUUUUUUCCAAAACAAUACCUUGGUUGUUAUAUCUAAAGUAAUAAACACCUAAUCAAAAUUGUACCUUUACGAUUCGUCUAAAAUGAGCGCUUUGACCUAAUAUUCUUCUUCGUUAUCCUCAAGCUCACGUCUAUCGAGUGUGGGCUCGCUUCGAAUCAAGAAAUUUUUCACAACAAUUACCAAUGGGGUAAUUUCAUAAUUUCUCUAAAAUUUUAGGUCAAGUUGUAAAUCAGAAAAUAUCUCUAGAAAAUUUCUAAAAUAAUCUCUUCAAAGAAUUUUUUUUCUCUAUAACUUUCUCUUGAAUUCAAGUGUGUGUAAAAUAAUGACCCAAGGCUCUCUUUAUAUAUGGAGAGAUUAGAGAGUUCAACUAUGAUUAAACUUAAUCACUUUAACAUUAAAUUAAUAUAAUAAUUAUUAUAUUAAUUUAAUGUUAAAGUGAUUAAGUUUAAUCAUAGUUAGUAUUAAAUCUUAUUAAAAUAAUAGAAUGUAUAUAAACAUUAAAUUAAAUUUAAUAUUAAGAUAAUCACUUAAUAUUAAAUUAAUAAAAUACAAUUAAGAUAAGUAUUAAAUUUAAUUUAAUAUUAAACUAUUAAAAUAAUAGUAUUUUUGAAAUAGUUAAUCUGAAAUCAAAUUCUUUAGUAGAGUCCCAGUAGGUGUGAGACACUCCUACUGCUCAACCACUGAAGCCACCGGCCUCUGGGACGCCGUCGUCGUAGUCACCGACACCGUCGUGUCCCGUGAUACAGGUGCAACACCUUUACCGCACCCCAAGCCUAUUCGGCUAUUGUUAGGUCAUCUGGGUCAGUGACAACCUGACCGGUUCGGUCUAGCCACCGGUUGGACCGUUGACCCGAUUUUACAUAUCGAGCCUGAUUUGACCAAUUUUUAGGUCUUGGUCUCGAUUUUGGGCUCCUAGACCCAAUUUACGAUCUCAGGUCUAAUUUUCAAGUUCAAUUACCCAUUAUGCCACUUGUCUGACUUGAAAAUUAAUUUUCAAAAAUAUCAUAUUAAUUUUAAUUAAUUUUAAUUAAUUUGAUUAAUUUAAUUUUACUUUAUCAAAAUUAAAUUUCUCAAAAGUCACUUAUGUUUUCCAAAUUAAUUUUUUAAGAAAAAUUUUUAAUCAAAAUUUCUAGUUGAACAAUUCUCACGACCACCUAAUUUAAUUCUACAUUGAAUAAAUAGACUCAAUUAAAUUAUUUCCAAAGUUUUAGAAUUUUCUUCCAAUUCAAAUGCAAUUCGAUCGAGCUUUUGUUGAGCUGGCGGAAGGGCCAACCGAACAUAUACAAUUAGGCUCUAGUAAUUGCAAUUAUUUCCAGAAGCAUCGUUCUGAUAAUUCACACUUAUUUAAUCACGGAGUCGGUCCACAAGAGGUACCAUGAUUGAAAAGUCAUUAUUUGAUAUUCUUUACGGAAACAAUUCAUCCAGUUGUUUUUGUAACGCCCCAAAAUCUCUUAUAUAAUUUUUCAUAUGUUUGUGACACAACUGUAUGUCUGCUUCAGUGGUUAAGUGUUCUAGGAAGUGUUUGAGAGGUCUCAAGUUCAAGCCUUAGCUUGGGCAAAUUUUUUUUUUAAAUGAAUAAACUCCUAUCUCUAAUCAAUAGGCUUAUAAAUAUAUGUUGGUAAAAUAUGUCAGAAUGGGCUUGCUGGUCUGGUGGUUAAGUGGGGUGUUAGUGUGCUGGGGGUCUUGAGUUUGAAUCUCUGUAUGUACAAGAGGGAUUUUUUUUGUUCUUGUGCCGUGAAGGAGUUUGAAAUGUGGUAAAAUACUGAGUGUUUGAGAUGUGUGGGAGGUUGUGGACGGUUUGGGGUGUUUGGAUUGGGUGGGGAGUCAUGUGUAGAGAUUUGAGGAGAGUAACAAUAGGGGAUUUAGGAGUUACGCAGUUAUUUUUCUUCUCUCCUGCAAAGUCUCUGUCAUUUUUCUCUCCAUUUUUCAUUUGAUGUUUAAUUUUAUCCUCCCUCUUGUUGAAUCCACCUUUUUCCUUCCUUUCCCUUUUCAACUUUGUUUUCAAAUGGUCAUAUUACGCAACAUAGAGUCACACUCGUUCCGUAAGUGAUAAUGGUGCCAUAAAUUUUUGGGUUUUUUUAAGUUAUUAAUUUGGGAACCUUUGUUUAACUGUGUUGACAGCCAAAAAUCUGGUGUGAGGGGCUGUGCUAGUGUCGAGUUAUAGAGGGAAGCGUCCGUAGUUCGUAAGGUAAGGGUUUUUCCGCUUGGAAGGUGACUUUUCGGUUUUUGGGUUAAGUUUAAUUCGAUCGUUUAAGUGACUAAUUGAGCAAAAUGUUGGUCAAUAAUAGGUUCUAGAGUGCUCAUAGUGGCUUUAGCUUCGAAUCGAAACCAGGUGUGUAACCAUAACACUGUAAACGAAAAUGGCGAAAAGCCAAAAAGUGAGGCUGUCGACGCCACACGUGCGUGUGGCCGUCCGUAUGGUUGGUCGUGUGAUCAAACAUAGACGUUUGAUCGACGAGGCUGGUCGUGUGCGAUACACAGGUCGGACCGAAUUAGGCCGUGUGGGCCCACAAAGGCGUGUGGAUUUUUGGGCCAGGCCAUGUUAUCUACACGACCAAGGCCAAUUUGGGCCAUGUGGGACACACGGGCGAAUAUCAUGGGCUUGUAGGCCUAUUUUCACUGUUUUAUUGCUAAGGUUGCACGAGUCGCCCGAGUCGCCCGAGUCGACUGUGGACCUACUAUAGGGUCGGUAAGCUUACCUAGACCCCUAAUUGACUGAAUGACUAUUAUGUCCAUGUACGAUAUAUAUAUUUAUGACUAUAUAUUGAGCAUGCUGUUAAACUGUACUGAAUGCAUGUAUGAUACCAGGAUUUGACAUGACAUGAUUUUAUGAUGCAUAGCAUGGGGAUGUGUUUAUAUUGAUUGGAGGAAGUGUACUGAAAGGCUUCGAGCCUAACUUACUGGUAACUCAAUUGCAUAAUACUGUAUAGUGCCGCAUUCGAUGCUACUUGGAGUGUAAGGAUGGGUGGGUUGAUUAUAUCCCCACAUAGAGUGUAGGGUUGGACGGAGAUGGAGUGUAGAGGUUGGCUGGGUAGGAUUUUGUGAUUGCAUAACUAAUACUAUACUAAUUACUGAUACUGUAAUGGGCCAAGGCCUACUGCAUGACUGCACCUGGACUGAAUGGACUAAGGCCCUAACUGAAAUUGGAUCUGAUACUGAAAAGGGGCUUAGGCCCAGAUUGGAACUGAUUUCUAUCUUCGUAAACUCACCCUUCUGAUUUAUCUGUACAGGUAAUACCCAGUCAUAAGUGGAUCGGUGCGAUGGAGGACUCAACGGUCGCCACACGACCUAUUUAAUUCGAUUUAGUAUUCAAUUAUAAUUUUGAAUUUGUUUUGGGGGUAUUUUACUGUAUCAUGGCCUCUUUGGACUUAUAUUUUUAAUUUGGGAUUUUUAAUUGUUUUUGAUUUAUAACUGCUAGUAGUAGGGAUAUUCGAGUUUUCAAAAAGAACCAAACAUUUUAACAAAAUCCACUCAAAUAUGUAACUGUUUUCAAAAGCUUCCGCAAUAAGUGACGUUUUGAAAAUUAAUAACAUUUUGAAAGAGAUUAACUUUAUUAAUUACAUUUUGAAAUGAACGACACGUCCUGAAUUAACAUAAGACACUGUCAAGAGGUUAUAUAGGUAAGAGGUUUUUUACGACAACUCAUUUUUUUCAAAAAACACUACCAUGCGCCAUCGCCAGAUUCAGCCAUAACGUCUAGGCCGAGUUUGGGGGUGUUAUAGUUUUGUCCAAUGACCUCGUCAUGUGUGUGUUACCCUUAUAUGAUAUCUUUGAUUCCUUUGAGUUAAAUCCGUUUACUCAAUACAAUCCUAUUUUAUCUCAUUGUCACCAUUGUGUCUUCUGAAUGAUUAAUAUGACAACUGUCAACAAAUGAUUGUGAUAAUUUGUUUGUUCGAGAACAAGCAACCCAUGACCACGUUUCAUAUUUCUGAAUCUACACAAUGUCAAUGAAAGGAUAUCAUUAACUCUUUAAUUGAGCUAUGAAUUCCACUGUUGCUAGUAAAGCCAUGUCAUACACAAGUCAUGUACUCAACAUACCAGCUAUGGGCUCGAUCAUCUUUAGAGCAAAAGCCUCUACUUAUAUCAAUGCACAUGAGUUGCAUACGCAUGGUUAGUGACUCACUCAGGAUAUAGGUAAAUCACACCAUAAACUUUACAAGUGAAUUAAUUCAGAAACGGAUUCAGAAUUAAUUCAUCUUAGGUCUAGUCCAAUCUAUCAUUCUACCAAUGAAUACAUCUAUGUCUCUACCCGUGGAGUCAACUGCUUCGAUAGCCAAGACUAGCCAUCUCCCCAAUUAGAAUUGUAGACGACAUAAUAAUCCUUCUCAUUAUUUGAAUCAAAUGCUCACUUCGAUUCUUUUACAGGAUUACGGACUUAUUUAGAUUAUCUACUGAAGUAAGUUGCCUUUUUCGCAAUGUAAACUUUCUUAAAAUGCCACUUAUCUUCAAAUUGAACUUAAACAAUCAAUGAACUAAUAUUUGUUUAUCACAAUUUUGCUAUGCAUGCAAAAUAUAAAAGUCAGAAAUGCAAAAGACAUAAUAUUGAAAUGUGAAAUUAACUUUAUUUAUUUAUCGUUCAAAUAAAUAGAAAAUAAUUACAUGUUUACUACAAUAUGGGCACAUUUCCCAACAAUCUCCCACUUGCCCUAGUGAAAUAAAUGUUUAAUGUUUCACAUAAUCAUAUCCUCGACGUGUUCGUUAAAACUCCUAGUUACAAGAGUCUUAGUAAAUGGAUCUGCAUGGUUAUCUUUAGAAGCUACUUUCAUCACAUCUACAAUUUAUUCGACUACCAUCUCUCGUAUCAAGUGAUACUCUUGAUCAAUGUGUUUCGUCCUCUUGUGACUUCUCAUUUCCUUGUUAUUAGCUAUUUCAACACUAUUAUCACAAUAUAGUGUUAUAGCUUUUUCUAUACUAGGAGUUACUUCAAGACCGGUUAAGAACUUUCGAAGUCAUAUUGCUUCUUUCGUUGCCUCAAAAGUAGCCACAUACUCGGCCUCCAUAGCAGAGCCAACAGUGCAAGUUUGUUUUACACUUCUCCAUAUUAUGAUUCCACAACCUAGAAUGAAUACAUUUCCCGAUGUUGAUUUCCUCGAAUCUUUAUAGGGUUAGAAGUUUGAGUCUGUGUAUCCAAUAGGAGUAAGGUUCUUCCCCGAAUACAUAAGCAUAUAAUCCCUGGUUCUUUUAAGAUACCUUAAUAUAUGCUUUACAACUUGUCAAUGCUUGAGAUCUAGAUUCGUCUGAUAUCAGCUAAUCAUUCCUACUGUGAAACAGAUAUCUAGACAUGUGCAAAGCAUUGCAUACAUAAGGCUUCCAACUACCGAAGCAUAUGGAACCUUACACAUAUGCUUUCUUUCUUUCACUGUCUUAGGACAAUCAUCAAAAGAAAGAUGAAAACCUGAUGCAGUCGGUUGAAUGUUUGGCUUCACAUUGGUCAUUGUAAAACAUUCUAGUACCUUAUCGAUGUAUGAAGCUUGAGAUAAAGCUAUCAUUUUAUUCUUUCGAUCCCUAAGGAUUCAAAUUUGAAGAAUAUAAGUAGUUUUACCCAAGUCCUUCAUGCUAAACUAUUGAGCUAACCAUAGUUUAACCGAUGACAAGUCUCCUACAUCGUUUUCGAUAACUAGAAUAUCAUCGACAUACAAAACGAGGAAGACCAUUUUUUCCUUUAUACGCUUAUCAACACAAGGUUCAUCGGCAUUUUUCUCAAAUCCAAAAUUCUUAAUCAUUUGAUCAAAUCUUUUAUUCCAUGAGCGAGGACGCCUACUUAAGUCCAUAAAUGGAUCUUUGCAGUUUGCAAACUUUCUGCUCAUUUCCUUUGACAACAUAGCCAUUUGGUUAAGCCAUGUAAAUGGUCUUAUCAAGAUAGGUAUUCAAGAAUGUUGUUUUGACAUCCAUUUUCCAGAUCUCGUAAUCGAGAGCAGUGACAAUGGAAAGAGUAUGCGGAUAGACUUGAACAUGGCUACUAAAGAGAAGGUCUCAUCGUAAUUGAUGUUUUCUUUCUGUGUCUAGUCUUUCCCUACAAGUCUAGCUUUGUGUGUUUCCACUUUCCCUUUCGCAUUCCUCUUCUUCUUGUAGAUCCACUUACAUCCUACGAGUUUAAUCCCAACCAGUAAUUCUACAAGUUCUUACACCGUAUUGGAUUUCAUAAAAUCCAUAUUGGCAUCUAUGACCUGUUUUUAGAGCUUGGAAUCAAUGUCCUACAUAUCCCUCUCGUAAGUGAGUGGAUCAUCAAUCUUAUGAUUGGCUUCUGUAUUAUAAAUAAUAUCAUCAUAGAUGAAGAAGUCCGGUUUCUUAUAAACUCUCCUACUACGAAGGAUUCCCCUAUGUUGUUGAUUGUUUACAGGUAUUUCUACAACUUUCUCGAGAAUUGAACAUGGUGAUUGUUCUACCACAGUCGAAAGUUCCUUGAGUACCACAUUACUUGAGGCUUAAAGUUAUCAAUGUAGUUUUCCUCAAGGAAAGUAGCAUGAGUAGAAAAUUUAAUAAUAUUUGUAAUGACCCAAUAUUGCCCGGCCCAAACCAGAAAUAAAUAAACAAAAAAAUAAAGAACAAAUGAAAUAGUCCAAAAAUAGUCCAUUUACACUGGGCUCAAUAUGGCCCAAACUAAAGUCCAAACCAACUAAAACCCGAAUCAGCCCAAAGCUAAGAAAAUAAGAAACCCUAGGGUUUCUGGAGAUCCCAGCGCCGCAGCAACCAGGACACAGCCUCCAGCGCCUUUGAUCUUCCUCUCUACACGCGCCACGCCACCACCUCCUUACAGCCGUACCUGCGCAACACACAAACAAAAUAGCAAGAGAAAAGCAGAGAAAAAAGGAAAAACAGAAAGAAAAAAGAAAUUUGUAUUCUUUUCUUAUUUUUCUUUUUAUUUUCGGGUUAUAAAAACCCCAUGGAUGUACUCGACCUUUUUUACCCACGCACAUAUUGAAUAAAACAAAACAAAAAUUUCAGAGAAAAAGACCAAAAAUUUGAAAGGUGAUUUACAGUUUUUCUUUAUUUUUCUUUUUUUCUCCGUUUCUUUUCAUUUUUUCUUUCCUUUCUCUAUGCGUAACAAUAAAAAAGAAAAAUGAGGGAAUCGUACCUUGUUUUCGGAAGCCGUCCGAUCUCUGACCCUCUCCGUCGCAAUCGGGGUCUUGGUGGAGGUCAUGGAUGCGACAACAGCGCCGUACCUGGGGGCUGGUACCUAGGUUUCUUUGAAAAGGGAAAGGGGAAUCUGAUGUUUAGGUUUUAGGUUUUGUAUAUUUUUUUAGUUUUAUAAAACGUAAAACGACGCCGUUUAGGGGCUUACGACCCACGCGGUGACCCGACCCGAGGGAAGGAUCUGCGUGUUUCAUCUCAAUGGUUUAUUUUCGUGUUUGGUCCUUCUAUUUUUGAUUUGCUUCAGUUUAAUCCUUUUUUAUUUUUUAAUUUGGCCACAUAAUUCGAUCCUGCGUCCAAUUUCGUCCUCUUGUUAGUUGAGGAGACGAAUGU
Molecule: long non-coding RNA, 85562 nt
Filed under: Gossypium raimondii (Peruvian cotton)
Lineage: Eukaryota; Viridiplantae; Streptophyta; Magnoliopsida; Malvales; Malvaceae
Description: long non-coding RNA (GRAI_LNC010637)
Source: RNAcentral